GGAGAGAAGGAGAUAGAGAGGGUAUAUAUUACCUUCAACAUAAUGGAAUCAGCCUGAGGAAUUGCUUCUAACAUGUCUCCUCCGACAUAUUUUAUGUUCUGAGAUUCUUCCAAGCCUGCAACAACAUGUGGCAGAUCAAAUACAAUGCACUUUACCUGUGGGAAGGACUCAACAAUAACCUUAGCCAUUGUCCCUGUUCCUCCUCCAACAUCAACCAAUGAUUCUAUUCCCUCGAACAAUCUCUUAUACUUCUCAAUCACCACAGUGGAAACCAAUCGACUGUCCAUAGCCAUGACUUCAUUGAAAAGGUUAUUGAAAUUAGGCUCACGUCCAGCAAAAUCCCAAAAUCCCAUACCAUUUUCCCUGUGAAACGGUGAAGGGGUUUCAUUUGUGAACCAGGUAGAGAAUUGAAACCAUGGAUUGAUCAUAACUGGAUUAAAUAUUAAUCGCGUCACAGAUUUCAUACUAAAGGGAUGGUCCUUUAGGAGUAACAUAGAUGCAUCAGUUAUGAGAUACAUGACAUCAGGCUGAUUUGGGUUGGCAUGGUGUUCAGAGAAGAAACCAGAAUGAGUCAAAAUUUUCAUCAAGCGGGUGAUAAAGGAAGUCUUGGAUGGGUGGAGUGGUAAUGAAGCAAUGAGUUGUGAGAGUGGCAUAGGUUGGCCAUAGUUGUGUAUGAUAUCUGGUAUGCUUAACUCAAUAGCACACUUAAGAGACAGAGAAUUUAUGAAUUUAAAAAUAUGAUUCCAAACAUGAUUUUGAGCUCGAAGCAAUUUUGAAGCAUGCUCUUCACCCUCGGUUUCCAUAUAUAAUUUGGCAAGUUUGUGUGGGUUUGUGUGGUAUUAAAUCUCGUAUUUACUCGAUGUAUUUAUAAUGACAAAAAGGUGUGCAACAUAAUAUCUUGGUGCUUUAUUUCUAACUUUAAGAAAAAUUAUAUUUUCAUAACCACUUUCGCUUCCAAUAGUUAUUAGAUUAGAUUACUGAUCUUAUUAUAAUUAAAUAAUAAUAAAUAUAAAUGAAAUCUUAACAUAAAAUAAUAAUAUGCUUAAUUGCAUAAUGACAAAUAUUAUGAAUAUUUGAAGAAAUGAUUUGUUGUUUACAGUGACUGUUUUAGAUAUGCAUAUAUUACAAAGAAAAGCUAAAAUAGAUGGCGAAACCACAUAUAAGAACAAAAUAAAAUAUCUCCCCUUUCCAUACCAAACUUCCUUUUGAAACAUGUCAUUUAUGAAUUAUAAAUUUUAUGGUUUUACGUUACGAAAGGUGUGCUACAUAAAUAUAUCUAUAUGCUUUCUUGCUGCUAAUAGUAACUUGAAUAAAAAUUAUAUUUUCAUAACCACUUUUCCUUUAAAUAUUUAUUACGUAAUUUAUUUUUUAUUUAAUAACAAUGAAUAUAAAUGAAAUUUUAAAAUAAUAAUAAUAAUAAUGAAAAUCAUUAUGAUAACUAUAGUAUGUGGUUCACACUCAUUCUAAUAGAUAAGCAUUGGAUAAGGGAAAGCUAAAGAUGGAUGGUUACAAAAGACUUGGCACACAUAAGAGCAAAAAAAAUCCUGUCCUCUCUUUCAUGGUGACAAAUAAGGUCAUUUUAGUAGAUAUUUUAAUAGAUAAUGUUUGAUCAUGUUCCAAUUUUGGCAAGGCGUUCAAUGGGAUCUUGUUCUAGGAAAUUAACAGGAUGUGGUACCUUUACAUGUGUUGAGACUGACAUGACCAAAUGUCACUACUACAUAAUUAAUCAUAGAUAGCACUAGUAAAAAACGAGACUAAUAACACGCUCAUUAUGUUUUGGUUGGUCAGAAACCGAAACACAAAAUAGGACAGUGGCAUUUUUGAAAUUAUUGGAAAAAUAUGUCUCGAUUCUAUCUUAACCGAAUCCAUAAAGCAUCUACAAUGUCGGUUACAAGGACAACCGAGGCCAUAAAACCCAAAAAAGUUGUCAAGAAAAGACUUUUCAGAUGACAAAUAUCUUUGUGCAGGGUUUUUGGCUUCGGUUAUCCUUAGAACCGAGGCCAAAAUCCCCUGCUCCAAUUGAGAAUCCUACUUGCAGUAUGAAAAAUAUCUCUGUGUAGGGCUUUUGGCCUUAGUUACUCUCAGAACUGAGGCCAAAACCCCUAUGCUCCACUGACAUUCCCGCUCUGUACUCUGACGUUUGAACUGACAAACUUUUUGAAAGGGGGUUAUGGCCUUGGUUCCCUACAGAACAGAGGUCAUAUCCUCCUCUCAUUAAGUCAAACAGUUGUAACGUUUAGAUUUUCACAAAAGGAAAUUAAUUUUGUGCAGGAGUUUUGGUCGUGGUUCUCUUUGGAACCGAGGUAAAAGGGUUCAUUAAAUUUACAAAAAUGUCAUUUAAUGUAAUUUUUUAAUUUUUUUUCUGGGCACUUUAGGCCUCGGUUCUUACAGAAUCGAGGUGGUAGAGGCUUUUUGCCUUGGUUAAAAAAAUAACCGAGGUAAUAAGAUGCGCUUAGGUUUAAAUUUUGUAAACAGAUCCUCUUUAGAUAAAAAGUCUUCGUUUCAGUGUAAAUUGUGUCGCUGCUCUCUCUCGCCCUUAGGGUUCUCUUCGCCAUUGUUUUGUUCUCUUCUUCACUCCUCUGUCGUGGCUUCACAAGAAAGGGAAAGCACCCAUCUUCAUCUUUUUCUUUUCUUCUUGUUUCGUUUCGCCUCACAAUGAGGGAGACACGGACUUCCUUUCUCCAACUCUAGUUCGUGUUUCUCAUGGAGGGAAGACUCCCUUUCACUUCUCAGUGUUGGUUCAUUUUUUCAGGAAGGGAAGUGACUUUGACAGCUUAGGCGCAUAUUUAUUUCUCACGAUGUGGUAGCAGUGGCGCCUCCACAAGGGUUCAUGUUUUGGUGUCAUCGUGGGGAAGGGAAAUCGCGUCUGACUCCAGCAUAAAGUUUAGGGUUCCUGACCUCGUACCGAUUCGGGAUUUUUUUUAAACUGAUUCCUACGUUUUGAGGCUAGGGUUUUGGAUUACGAUUUGGAAAUUUGGGGUUUCUAUACAUGCAAAAUUUUCUUGUAAUUAGGGUUUUAAUUGUUCUCUAGUUUUUGGAAUUUUUGUUCGAGUUGUUUUUUUUUUUAAAUUUGAUAUAAGAGCACGUUAUUUAAAAAGAAAAUAUAGGAAACCUUGGGGAUAUUACCUCGGUUCUAGCCUAAACCGCUGCUAUAGCCCCAUGUUAUUAUCUUGGGUGUAGAAGAACAAAAGCGGAAACCUUGGGGAUAUUACCUCUGUUGGAACCGAGGCCAAAAGUCCCCACCUUUUUACCUCGCCAGUAUAUGCCUCGGUUUGAAAACCGAAGCGUAUUGUCAAAAACACCUAAUAGAUAAUGUUUUUUUAAAUAAAUGUUAUCCAUGAAUGUGGAGAACAAUAGAUAGUGCUUUUUUAAAAAAUCGCUAUCUAUACUUAUAACGAUAGCGCUUAUUUAAAAAAAUGUUAUCUAUUAUAACAAAAUAGAUAGUGUGUUUUUAAAAAAGUAUUUUGAAAAGAGGUUUUUAGUCCCCCUUUGUAUGCAUGUUUUAAGUUUCUCGUUCGAGCAUCUUUUUACUCUCAUAUUUUUCAAAACUUUUGUCCAUUUUCUUAAAUUUUCAAUUUCACUUAAUGUUCAAAUUCGUCAAACCUGUUGUUCCAAAUUUCACAUCCGAUUUCCCCCAAAUUUUACUUCAUGCUUCUCCCCAUAUUUCACUUUGCAUUCAUCCCAAACCUGCUGCAUUCAUCAAACUUGAUAGUUCUUAGUGGAACAAGUCGUUGUUGCAUUGUCUUCUCCGCCAUUGCUCAUCGGCCAAGGUUCAUCAAGUGCGGUCACGACUAAGGGUUUAGGAAACCAGUGUGCAAGCCUUGCCUAUUUCAAGAAACCAGUGCACUCAUGGCUAGUUUAACGUUUCGCCAUUAAAGCUAGGCGUUCUGGUGAGAGAAGUGAUGGUGUUGUUGAAGGCAUUGUGUUGUCGUGUUCGAAGGAGUCAAUCCUUGGUAAUGGCGGUUUGGGAACGACCAUCUGAGGGUGUCGAAACCUUGGUAGUGGCAUUGUGGGAACCUUCAUUUGACCAAAAGUAUUCUUGUAAAGUGAACCAUUGGUCACUGUCACCUUAAGGGUGAUCAUAAGGUAUGUAGUUGAUGGCAUACCCCUAGCUAUGACCUAACACAUUCAUAAAGACUUGUAGACAUUUAUGGAAGAUGGGCCUAGACUCUUUCUCUUGGGCAAUCCUAAACCAUAAUGAAGAUUUAGUAGAGUAAGAAUAAGUUUGGCCUUGUAUUUGGACCAAGUAGUCUAGAUUUUAUUUGAGCUUUGUAUUAUGGACCUAGUAGUUUAGGAUUUCAAUUGUGCCUUAAAAUAGGAUUCUAACCAAACAAGUCAACAAAGGGGUGUUGACUAUGCUUGGGUGUCCAAAAUGGGUGUGUUGACGAAGGGGUCAACAUUUUGGCUAAGUUGGGCAACAAGAGAGAAGAAUUUCAUCCUAGACAUGUGGAAGCUUCCCAUUGGAGAGUUUUCCUCCUAGUUAGCGACCAUGUGUCACUCUAGGAAUGAAGAGUUUUUCCAUAGGUAGUGGCCACUUGUCACUCUAUCAUUUGAAAGGAUAUAUGCCACUUGUCUCCUUCCUAUUGGAGUGGAUUUCUCCUUGCUCUCCAAGCCAACCAAGUUGGCUCUUUUAGGUUAAAGUUUUAGCCUAUUUUGAGACACCUUAGCCUAUAAAUAAAGGUGCUCUCCAUCUUGUAAUCACCUUUGUUUUAUAAUAAAGUUAUGUUGUCAUUUUUGUGUCAUAUUACUCUCUUAAGCUCACCCUAGGCUAGAGUAACCCAAGUGGCCUCCUUUAGCCACCUUCCUCCAAAUUUUGGUCCAACCUCUCUUAGAGAAUCCUUAAACACAUCUUCCAUCACCAUAUAUUACUCUAAAAUCGUAACCCAUUCAACAUUCCACACCACCACAAAUUCUACACAUCAUUGUCUCCAUGAACAUGGCUUGGUUGCUUCUAGAUUUGGUUCAUUGUUAAGACUCCAGCAAGUGUACCGAAUCGUAUCAAGUAAUAAUAAAUGGUAAGACCAAGUAUCGUUUCCCUAGAGACUCAUAGGCCUAGACUUUCGUGUGAUUUGUUGAUUAUAAUAAGACUUGAAUAACGAAAAUUGGUGUUUAAAAUGCAAAAACGAAAAUUAAAUAUGCACAUGCAAAAUUUGAUCAAUUGACAGUUGAACGAUAUGGAUGAAUGGUGUUGUUGGGGUUUCCAACUUAUCCUAAUCCACUCUCAUAUAUUUACGAAUUCUACUUUUUCAUUAAUGGUAAUGUCACUUUCUAAUUUACCCUAAUCCCAAUGUCUUGGUGAAAAGAACCUACUCCUAAUUACUAGUUUACAAUGUCUUGUCUCCCUAGCCAUUGUUCAUGCAUUAAAUUCGCACAAAAGCUUAAAGGCAAUGAUCCUCCUAUCCCUAUGUUUAGGUAAUAUUGCUCCCAAGAGAAUUCCCUCAUGUCUAGAUCUACCCACAUGUGUCCAUAUAGAUAAAAUCAAAGAUUAUGCUAUUGAAUAAUGUCUUAAACAAAGCAUGCAAAGAUAAUGGAGGAAAAACUCUAACAAUUAAAAAAAGAAAGCAUAUGAAUAAAGCAUCAAUUCAAUAUAUGAGAGUUUCAAUAGGAUUACAUCGUUUCCUCAACUACAAUGGAGGUUUAAUUCACCAUGGACAUGGUGAAACUAGAUGAAAACAAUGAAUAGAAUGAAAAGAUAAACCCUAGAUUUGAUAAAUUGAAACUCCCGCAACCAAAAUUGGCCUCCAAGGGGUGAGAAGUGUUUUUCUGCGUCUCUUCUCCCAAAAGAUAAACCAUCUAGGUCGUCCAGAUCUAUUUAUAAUUCAUUAAAAAUCAGCAGAACUGGCCCAAGCCCAAACGUACAGUGCUCAGCGCUAGGUCACCGCUCAGCGCUAGGUCACCGCUCAGCGGUAGGUGUGAAACUAGAGAAGAACGCUCAGCGUUGUCGCCCAGGCUUCUGGCAGAGAAUUCACCAAGAUAGUGGCGCCGAGUGGUGUUGCUCAGCAGUUGCUGCGACACUGAAUUUCCCCUUAGCGUUGACGCAUAAGCAUUGGCCAGAGAAGUCCUUCAAGAGGCUGGCCCUUAGCGGUACUAUGACGCUCAACAGUGCCUGCGAUUCUUCUUUUAAUCACUUUUCCUUCUUCUCUUGCCUUCAACUCCUUCCUACUUCAUCUUCCUUCAUUUAAUUCAUGUUAAAUCCUGCCAAAACAAGAGAAACCAAGCAUAAAACCAAGAAAACCACCUUUGACUCUCUUAUUCUCUAACUUAAGCAACAUGCAUGAUUUCAAGCUAGUUUCUAAGUCAUAAAGGAUGUGUUUUGUAUCAAAUUUAAGUAUAAAAAUAGCGGUUUUUGAACCGAUAUCACAACCCCAAACUUAGAACUUUGCUUGUCCUCAAGCAAACAAAAUAUAGUCUUCCACCAGUCAUCACAAUGGUUCAAUCACAUUCAAAACUCUUUUCUUUCAAGACAAGUAAUAACUCAAAUUUGCUCAUCAAUAGAAUUUAGUCAAGAUGCACACAUGCCUUGAUUCUCAAUGCUUAUCAUGGUGUUCACACAAUCCUCAAAUAUCCAAUAGAUGUUAUUCUCAUGAAUGAUCAAUUAGCUAAGCACAGAUAUAAUCAUAGAUUCAUGGAAUCAUUCCUCACCAAACAAGGUGUUUCACUCAAUCGCUCAAGUGUUUCAAGGUCACUCCUUCCCUCUACUAUCCACAUGUCACAUAGAACAAAAUUGCCUUUCAUUUACCAUAAUCAAUCAUCAUUACACCCACAUGUCAUCACAAGGACUUUUACAAGGCUUAUAAUGUGGUUGGGCUAACAAGAAAAAUUAGUUUUUCUUAGAUCACAAAAUCCUUGAGUUAGGAGAGUAAUUCAAAUAUUCAUAGUUCAAGCACAAACUCUCAUUUUACCAAUCUCACUCAUUCCCAACUUUCCCUUUUCUUGCAUUGAGGUUUUCUUUUCAUUUUAUCUUUUCUAUCUUUUUCAUCUUUUUCAUGCUUUGCUCAACACAUUAGCUUAAUACUUAUCUUUCUUUCAAUUUCCCCAACAACCCCAAAUUUGAACCUAGAGCUGUCAAAACGGGUAACCCGGCUCGACUCGGCACGGCCCAUCACGGGUUGGUCACUUAGUGAGCCAACCCAACCCGACUUAUUUAUUAGCAAGCCAAAAAACUUCGAACCCAGCUCGACCCGCCACGGGUUGAUGGGUAAACAGGUUGGUUCACUAGCCCACUUAAUUACAAUUUUUCUACAUAAAAAAAUUACAAACUUUCUAUAAUUCAAAUCUAAACAAAUUUCACUCCCAACAUGGAUGUUUAAUUAAUUUUGAACAUAUGGACCUUAAAUAAUUUUUUCAAGCAAAAAAAAUAUAAUAAAUAUUUUUCUAUAAAAUUAAAAUUAAAUUUUAAUAGAAUAAAAUUAGGUAGGUGGGUUGGUGGGCUAACCUGGCCCACCACAGGAUCAACUUGCAUGAGCAGGGUUUAAAUGAAUCGGGUUGAAAUCUGACCCGCAUAAAAAAAUACAAUGUUUUCAAACUCAACCCGGCCCGAACCCGUGAUGGACCAAGUUGGCCCGCGGGUUGAGACCCAUUUUGACAACUCUACUUGAACCUUAAUCAAUACCACACAAUAAUUCUCAACUUAACUCAAGGUAAAGAUUUUUCAAAAGGGAUUUCACAUACUGUCUAAGGCUUAGGUUCAAAAAGGAUAGAACACAUGGUUCUUGUAUGGGACGAAAUUUUUGCAUUGGCUAAGGGCUUGUUCAAAAACGGCCUUGAUCAUAUGGCAAAUACAUGCAAUUCAAUCAAUCAUAGAAAACUGGACAUAAUUUAAGUAUAUAUAAAGAUAGGGAAGAUAAAAGGAAUUGAAUAUUUUCUUUCCUUUUUGUUUUUAUUUUUCAAAUUUCAAAAUGAUUUUCCGUCUCUUCAUCAUAUGAAAAAGAUUUGUAAUCUUAUUAACAUCACUUUCUAAGUUAUGUCAUGAGUGUGCAGUUUUAGAGUAGUUUUUGUUCGUUGCACUUCAACUGUACUUUUGUUGUCCUUUGUCAAUUUUUUUUUCAAACAAUAGAUUCAAUGAAUACAAUUGUACUUCUGAUUGAUGACUUGUUUUGAUUUUAAAUUGUAUAUAUCGGUGAAUUGUAUAAUGCAUGAAUCUACUUAUUGAGGCAUUAAAUUGGUUAAUUAAAGCUUCUUGAAUAUAAUAGAGUUAAACUAUGCCCAAUAAGAAAAAAAAAAGUUAAUUAGCGACUCAAUUGUUGAAUCUUAUUGGCAUAGAAGCUUUGUGAUAGCGGUGAACUAUAUCUCAAUACACUAGUGGAAAAACGCUGUUUAACGUCGGUUAUUUUGGGCUUUUAACGUCAGAUCCCGAACCGACGUCUAUUCGAGUGACGUUAAAUGAGACGUCAGACCCUAUAGGUCAGACGUCUAUAUAGACGUCGGACUAUAUAGGUCAGACGUCUAUAUAGAUGUCGGACUCUAUAGAUCAGACGUCUAAAAUGUCGUCGUAUUUGAUAGGAUCUUUCUCCGCUUGAGGCCUCUCGAGUUGCUCCUAAGUCAUGGUGAUUCGAGUUUACAACUUUAUAUUUUAGUUGAAGAGAAUGGAUUCUAUGUUCUUAUUUUGUAUUGGACAGUUUUGAUAAUGUAGUGGAGGGAAUUGGAGGAGUGCAAAACGCAAGAAAUCGCCGUCCAUGAACGCUACCUAAGGACAUGAGCAAAACUGCACAAAAAACUCAAUGAAAACGCAUUUUAAUCGGUUCAAAUGAAAAAUAAUUCCUCAAAGAGUAAUGAAAUCAGAGUAAAAUUAAUUUUAAAUGGUGCAAAAGUGAGAAAAUGAACUUGAAAAACGUAGCAUGUGUAGAGAAAACGCGAGGAAGAUGAUAAACAAUGUGUGCGCGUAACUACUGCCUUGUGUUCGUAGUGUUUUAAUGCAGACAUUUAGACGUCGGUUCCCCUUACAACAGACGUCUAAAGUGCUUUUGAAGUCGGAGUGAUGGGAUCAGACGUCUAAAUGGAGUCAAAAAGUGACUUUUUAAAUUUCUGGGUUUAGAAUUUAGACGUCGGUUCCUAGAAUAACAGACAUCUAAACUACUUUAGAAGUCGGAGUGGUGGGAUUACACGUCUAAAUGGAGUCAAAAAGUGACUUUUUAAAUUUCUGGAUUUAGGGUUUAGACGUCGGUUCCCCCAAUAACAUACGUCUAUAAUAUUUUAGACGUCGGGGCUCUCCCAACUGAUGUCUAUAUGUCUGACAGGUAGGUGAAUAGCCAUUAAUUUCCGCCAUAUAGAUCUCGGGGCCCCUCUUAACUGACGUCUAUAUGACUGAAAGAAAUAACUUUUCACCCACCUGUCAGACAUAUAGACGUCAGUUAGGAGGGCCCUCGACGUCGGGUUCGUUGCCCGGGCGACUAGCGUCGAUUUCCAGCUCGUUGAUUUUCGCUCCUGUUGCCUGGGCAUCGAGUUUUCUCCCUCCUUGGUUCCUUUUUGACCCCUUUUGAGCUCCUUCUUCAUGGCUUUUCACUUCUUCUUCCAGUAUUGCUUCAAUCUCUGUCAAAAAAAAGGGGAAUUUGUUAGAAAACUGUUAAAAUCAACCUCAACUCUCUUAUUCACACAAUUUACUGAAAACACAUUAGUUCAAGGAAGUUUCUAAGUGAAAAAGGGUGCUUUUAGUAUCAAAAUCUCAUAGCAAAUAACGGUGUUUUAAUUCGUUAUCAACUUAUGCAAAAUCAUAGUCAAUUGUCUAACCAUGCAGGUCAAAGCAAAAAGAAGAGCUUCAGUACAUACACUCUCAGUGCUAUGAAUGUGGAAAGGAAGGUCACAUCAAGCAGAAAAGCAAGAAAAGAUUCCCUCAAGGCAAAAAUCCCAAAAGGAAAGGAGCUUACAUUGCUUGGGAGAACUCAGAUUCAGAAAGCUCAAGUGAUGAAGACUCUGAUCAAGUGGAGGAAUCAAAUAUGUGUUACAUGACAAGAGUAACAUGGGACGACUAUGACAGUGAUGCAGACAUAUCAAAUGAACCAGUGGAAAUCAAGUAUGAUUUGCUACAAGAUGCAUUCAAAGAACUGCAUGCUGAAGCUAUGUGACUGCAAUAUAAAGUAAAUCGACUAAGCUCUGAAAGAAGAGACUUUGAGAAUAGAAUUAACAACCUUGUUGUAGAAAAUGAGAAACUGGAAGAAGAAUUAUAUGAAGCUUUGUUAUAUGCUAAGAAUGUUGAAACUAUUACAGAAGAAAAAGAUUGUGAAAAUUGUCCGGCUCAUAUUGAAAAGAUAAGUUACUUGACUAGCACGCUAGCUAAGUUUACUCAAGGUAGAGACAAUUUAGAUGUUGUUUUAAAAUCAUUUGGCAGAGCUAUUAAGAAAUUAGGAAUUAGUUACAAAGCUCAAUCUAACAGAACCAAUGCUAGGAAAUUUACUGAUUUAAGUAAACUUGCUAGAAAUGCAUGUUUCUAUUGUAAUUGUGUUGGUCAUACUGUUAGAAAUUGUUAUUACAGAAAUAUUGUUGUUCCUAAAGGAUUUUGUGUUUGGAUACCAAAGGAACAUGUAACAUUAAAAAUCUUGAGAAUCUAAAACUGGUAGAACUGUAUAUAUCUACUACAUCAUGCUUAUAUUGAUUGAUUGUUGUUGUAUGAUUGUUUGUGUUGUAUGCUUGAUUGAUUGAUUGGUUGAAUUGUUUGGAAAUGAUUUUCAUAAUUCUUAGUUUACUUCCAUUUUAAUAAAUUCGACUAUGGUCUGCAAGUGUUUUAUAUUUCUGAUUUUUAAGACUGUUAGAAUUUAAACUUGGGGUUUAAUGAUAACCUUUGACGCGUUUUUCUUCUAUAUAAGGGUGUAAAAGUCUUAUGCACUCACCACUGUGUUAAACAAAACCCUUAUUCUGAUUCUGGUGAAACCUUUUCCUCAUUCUGCUCAAAUGGCUGCCUCUUCAUCAAGACCUGGGAAGCGACCUAUGUCAGCAAGAAGAGAGGCUGAUCCCUUUGGAUAGAUAAGUGAUGAUAAAACCAGAGAAAGAUUUCUCAUAAUGCGACCACUCAAAGAAGUAAUCAGACAUCAAAUGACUAAACUGACAUUGUUUGAACAAGAGCAAUUUAUGUUUCCUGAUGAUCUCAAAUUAGAUUUUUAUAUGGUACUUCCGAAAAGUUUUAACAUUAAUUUAAUAAAAAAAUCACAUUAAAUCUUUUUACAAAAAUAAAAAGUUAACUAAAUAAAAAUAAAUAUAAAAAUUAAAAUAAAUAGAAUAAUUAAAUAUAAAAAAAAUUAAUUACUAAUUAAUUACAAACUAUAUAAACAUUAGACUUACUACUUUAGAUUUUGGAACCGACAAAUAAAUUUUAAGUGGUGAAAGAAGAAACGUUGACUUUUAUAAAUGGUAAGGUAAAGGUUUGUUUGGUAGGUAAUGGUUUAUUUAGUUGUAUUUGAUAUUAUCCUAAAAUGGUAAGGUGUUUGCGACCUGAAAUUGGGUGGACCUGUCACAUAUUAUGACAAGUUUGGGACAAGAUGUGUUAAACUGUGACAAUAAGAGUUAAAUUGACGAAAUACAAAAUUUGUUAAACUGAGCUAGAUUUUUUUAAUUUUGUUGAAUUUGUCGCAUUGGUUUGCUUUUAAUAACGAAACCUAGAUAAUAGAUAUUGUUGCUCUUAAAAUCUAAGUAUGCCUAGUAGUUAGACAUCAUUAAUAGAAAUUGGUUAAUAAUAGUGCAGUACAGGGAAACGACCACGGUUGUUUUUCCCUAUACGUCGCGGUUUAUGAACCGCGACAUAUAUAAGUGCGGUAAAAAGUCUGUGACUAUAGGCUGCGGUGGCAACCGCGGUCAAAAGGUCUGGGAAUAGACCGUGGUUACACAAGGUCUCCUGCAGUUUUUUAAAAUAGCAGGUUUGUUUUUGUGAUAUCCACUACCACAAAAACAGAGUUGCAUAUGAAAUACAUGUUCAAAUUCAAUUUCAACACAUCAAACAGAUGUUCAAAUGUAUUUUAACAUCAAAUAAAGUACAAAGUCUAAUAAAAUACAAUCUAAUCAAAUGUAAUGUUUAAAUCUAGAAACUAAGAACUAUUAUAUAAUCUAACUAUAUACUUUGCAACAACUUUCCUUAUGAAUGAUAGUGGCUUCUUAGGAACUAGUGUAGUAGUCUUGAACCUCUACACAAGACAAUUGAUAUUAAUAGUGUAUAUGAAUUCUAAAUUUUGGAAAAAAUCAAAAUUUGAUAAAGUUAAAUAUUAUCGUUUCCCAGCCUCUUGUGAUAUGAGAAUGAAUAAUAUGGGUCAUCCAAUACAUUACAUAGUAUCCGCACUCAUAUGACUCACUUUGUCUGUUACAUUACAAUAUAUCAUCACAGUUGUAUAGUCAGUGAAAAACAUUAAAACAAAACAACUAUAAGAAAGUAUGGCUUUAGCAUAUGUCAAACCUUGAGAGAAAUCCAUGCAAUCUUUCUAGUGUUUGUAAUUGAUCUCCCAACCAUCAUCAUACUUGUUGGAAUAGAACUAUAUAUAAAAAAAAAGUUUUAGCAUUCAUUUAUAUAAAAAAAGAAAGUCUGAACAUCGAGGUUCUUACCAAUCAACUAGUUGUCUGAGAUUUGUGGGAGGAGGCCUGUGCAAUGAGCAGAACCAUAAAGCAUAACUCUCGUGCAUAGAAAUAACAAGAAGCUGCCAAUGGCACCUAAAAUUCAUAAUAACUUAACUAUUAUAUUUUAAAAUCACAUAUGGAACUUUAUUAUGUUAACAAAGUUCACUUACCCAGAUAUAUAAGGCAAAAAAUAUAUUUUCUUGCCGCUUGCAAAAUUUCUUAUGAGAUUUGUGUUGAUGUGAUCAAAAUCAUUUGAUUCGUGAAUGGAUUGGGAAUCAAUGAAUCCAUAAUCAUCAGAGUGCCCCAACUUGUUACUGGUCCCACACAAAUACCUGAAAUCAAAAGUUAACUUUGAUAUAAGGAUACUUGAUAUGCAAAUCAAUUUUAUAUAUAAAUAAUUGCUCAUAGACUUACAUAAUCCAUAGCUGAAUAAUUAUAAUAUUCAACUCUUGUGUUCUCGAAGCAAGCUCUCUGACAUCUGAGCCAUGAAGGUAUAAUGGGACCUUAGAGACUCUCCCAAAUACAUUAGAAUCAUAUUCAACCUCCAAAGGCUUAUCUUCAAGGAUGUCAGCAAGUAGCUGCAAUGAACCAAGAGGAUCAUCCUCAGUUCUUCGUUGUAUACAUAUGAAGGCUGACGAGAAGAGCUCCCAAAAUAAUCUCGAAUUCCUACUCCAGGACCAGCAACACGUACACGUCCAGGGUGCUCAGGUCGUCCAAUCACAACUGUAAGAAUAUCUUGGCAACCCUCUGGAGUGAAUUGACCUUGGGAGCUCUGCUCAACCAAGGAGUCCUGUAACAUUACAAAACACCAUUAUUGUUUAAAAAGUUCAAUGUAGUAUGUAUAAUGAAAUUAUUAUUAUUUUAGGAACAGUGAUAACUUAUAAUUCUUUCAGAAAUUUCCCGUGCAGUGUUAGAAGAGUAGGUGCCCGAUGGUCUCAUACGAGCCAACUUCCAUUUUUCAUGUCUAGAAGGUGGAGAAGGAGGCUAGGGGGGCUACCACCCUGAGAUGGUGGUUUAGCAUCUUCCUUUUGCUUGAGAAUUUUCUCCUCAAGCUUCCUAUACCCACCACGAGAUAAUAGGUGGGGGUUUUUGUUAUGAGAACUUGUUCCUUGUGCUUUGCUUUUAAUUGCCUGUCACAUAUGUUUAAUUAAUUAGUUCAUAUGAUAUAUAUUUGUUAAUGAGGAAUUGAAUAAUAUCAUACUAACCUUCCAUUCCUUUGUCGUCUGACUCUCUAUAAAGAGCCACAAAGUCUCCUCAUAAAUGGACUUAUAUGUACUACAUGGAGACUUAUUUUUAUGAUUUCCAAAGAUAUAUCUUGAUGUCAACUUACUUUUAAAGUUUCUGAAGUUUUCAGCAACAGUUGACAAACACUUAUUUCUAAGUGUUGCGACAUUUGGAAUGUCAAAUGUUAGCUGAAAUAAACAUAAUAAAGUUGUAUCAGUACAAAAUUAUCAAUAUAAACAAACUGUAAUUCAAAUGAAAUUAACUAACUUACCAAUAUAUCAUUCCAUAUAAUGUUCCGAUCAACCUCAGACACAUGGUCAAAAGAUGGAGUCAGAAUACUAAUUCUGUCACGUGCCACACCCGUGAUCAUGUUCACAUUCACUAAAGUUCUUUCACCACUAUUCUUUCUAAUCAAAAGUUGUUUCAUCCUGGUGGGAACUCUAGUGGAUCUGGUAGGGGGAGCCUCAUCCCCCGAAGAAUGUGGAUGAUCAGCCAUAUAUCUGUCAAAACUAAUAGCAACAUGAAAUAUUAAUAAAAGACUUAUGUAAUAUCAUAUAAUUUAACAAAACAUGUAAUAAUAAUCAUAAGAAAUAUAUAAAAGGAAAACUUAUGUGAUAUUAAUAAAAUACUUAUACAAAAAUUUGAAAUUCAUACGUAAAGAUAUGGAUUCAUCAUAUGUAUAUUCCCUCAUCAUUAUCUGACCGAAUUGCAUGUACAUCGUCGUCAACUAGAGAUUGAUCAUCCAAAUUUGUUGUAAUUUGAAAUGAGUAAUGAUUUCUCACCUCCUCACUUUAAUUUUAUUUGCAUUAUAGUUGUUUUAUGAAGAGCUGUCUUAGUUUAUGAUUGGAAUUCUUCUGUUCUUUCAAUAAGAAAAACUUUUUCACGGUGAAAAUAUUUCCAAAUUCUUACUAUUAUCUAAACGUUCAUCAUUCAUCAAGACAUAUUUUUCUUUAUUUUUAAUUGGUUGCCGAAUUAAGAUAUAUUACAUUUUUAUAAGAAAAUUAAUAAUAAAAAAUUGCCACAAAUAAAUUUAUUCCUUAAACUAAUUAAAGAUAGUUGGUGCUUAAGCGUCAUUUUUAAUGGAAAUAAUAAUGAAGAAAUUGUUUUCUUUAAGUAACCUUAAAAUGACUUACUAGUGUAGCGAUGGGAAUAUACCGCGGUUAUUUUUCACUAUACGUCGCGGUUUAUGAAUCGCGGCAUAUUCAGCUGCGGUAGUAAGUUAGAGACUUUAGGUCGCGGUUACAACCGCGGUAAAAAGAUUAGGGAAUAUACUGCGAUUGUAGUAUGAACCGCGGCCCAAACCCUUUUCUUUUUUUUUAAAAAAAAGUUCCAGUAUAGGUCGCAGUUAGACCCGCGGUAAUAAAGCCAGGAAUAUAGACCGCGGUUCUUGGUCUUUUAAAAAAAAUAAAAAAACGAACAUUUUCUACCGCGGUUGUGGUAACAACCGCGACAUAUUCCCCUGCAGUUUGUUAAAAUAAUAGGUCUGUUUUUGUGAUAUCUACUACCAAAAAAACAGACAUGCAUAUCAAAUACAUGUUCAAAUUCAUUUUCAACAGAACAAACACAUGUUGAAAUGUAUUUUAACAUCAAAUAAAGUACAAAGUCUAAUAAAAUACAAUCUAAUCAAAUGCAAUGUGUAAAUCUAGUAACUAAGAUCUAUUGUAUAAGCUAACUAUAUACUUUGCAGUAGCGUUCCUCAUGAAUGAUAGUCGCUUUUCAGGAACUGGUGUAGUAGUCAUGAACCUCUGCACAAGACAAUUCAUAUUAAUUAAUGUAUAUAUGAAUUCUAAAUUUGGGAAAAAAUCAAAAUUUGUUAAAGUUAAUAUUACCGUUUCCUAGCCUCUUGUGAUGUGAGAACGAACAAUAUGGGCCAUCCAAUACAUUACAUAGUAUACGCACUUGUAUGACCCAAUUUGUCUGUUACACUACAAUAUAUCAUCACAGUUGAUAAUAGUUAGUGAAUAACAUUAAAAUAAAACAACUAUAAGAAAGUAUGGCUUUAGCAUAUGUCAAACCUUGGGAGAAAUCCAAGUAAUCUUUCUACUAUUAGCAAUUGAUCUCCCAACCAUCAUCAUACUUGUUGGAAUAGAACUAUAUAUAAAAAAAGGUUUUAGCAUUCAUUUAUAUAACAAAGAAAGUCCAAACAUUGAGGUUCUUACCAAUCAAUUGCUUGUCUGAGAUGUGUGGGAGGAGGCUUAUGCAAUGAGCAGAACAACAAAGCAUAGUUCUCUUGCAUAGACAUAACAAGAAGCUGCCAAUGACGCCUAAAAUUCAUAAUAACUUAACUAUUAUAUAUUAAAAUCACAUGAUGACUUGGGUCCAAGCCCAUCAUGGACCCAUCACUAGAAGCAUAGAAGACUCCAAGAAGAGCUUGGGGACAUGGAUCCAAAUAGGCAAGUUCUCUUAAUACAUUUUAAGUGGAAUUUGGAGACACCAAGAGAAGGGCAAAACUGUCCACAUGAAGGUUGGAGUUGCUAGCAGCACCCCGAUUCUUGGCUAAGCACACCUAUGGCCAAUUGAUCACGUUUUUUUUAAUUGUUCACAUUGUAAAUAAGGCUUCUAGAUGCCAGCAUGCUUUUCAUUGCUUUGACACGUGGAUGGAUAUCCCACUCUUUAGGAAUUCAUCCACACCACACAUAGUUCAUGGGAUUUCUUAUAAAUCCACAUUGCAGCACAUGUAAAAACACUUUGGAUAUCAAUGAGAAUUUUCUUCUUUGCUGAAUCAUUCUUCUCAGCCGAGAGAUACUCUGCCAAAGUCACCUUCGCUGAUCUUCAUUCCAUCUCCUAGCUUUCUUCCAGUUCUUGGAAGNCGUCUGAAGCUAGAUCUCCUUCUACAUAGAUCUUCAACCACACAUCUACUUCACCUUGCAUCCAUUAUCAUCACUGCUGGAACAAACUGUUGCAGAAUCACGGNUUCUGCAUCUCAUCCGCUGGAGCAGCUCAUCAUGUUGGUAUUCAGAGCUAAAUUCGAUCUACACCACGCUCCAGAUAAGUAGCGUCUCGUUAAUUCCAUAUUGUUUCAUCAAUUCUUUCCUGUCUUGAUGUUGUGUGUAUUGUUUCAUUGCUUCAUUUGAUUUUAGUAAAUCUCAUCCGUUACACGGUUAUUUUUCUUCAAUCCAGCUUUUCUUUGUUUUCAUUUUCUUGUUUCAUUUUAAUCGGUCAAAUCUGGUGCCUUGGAGUAUUUUAAUUUUUUAGAUCCAAUACAGUCAUGUCUGAUCAUGUUGUGGUUCAAUUUUAUUGUCAAAAUUCUGAGUUAAUUGGUUUUAGCACCAACCUACCGUUUCUGAAGUGAUAAAGUGUGUGGAUAAAGCUGAUUUCUUGAGAUGACUUUCAAUAGAUGCACAUUCAAUGAGCAAUGACUAAAUGAGCUCAGUGUAUUCUGAAAGCAAUUACAGAUCAGCACCAGUAAAUCACUGAUCAAAUUUGUGAUUGAACUUGAAUGAUAUUGGUUGAUGCAACUGCACCGUGCUAACUGUGUUCUAAUUUGAUAUGAUAAUCUGUAAUAAUUUGAUGCACUGUUUGAAUUGAGUCACUGCAAUAGUGUAUUAAGCAAACCAAUUCAGUUGAGAUUUGUUAAAAUCAAACCGAGAAUGGUUGCCUUACACUGCAGAAGUUCACAGUAUAGUGCAUAGCAGCUUGGCCGAACUGCACUUGACUUGUUUGAGUUUGUUUUUCUGGUUUUGAAUCUGUUCAGCAAUUACAAAUACUCCACUGGACAUCUAUUCAUCUCAUUCUUAGAGUCUGUUUGUUGUUAAACUGUUGAUCUAAUGACGAAAGAAAUAAUUCAGAUCAUUUUGAUUCCUCUGUCUGAAUGAAUGUUGCGAAUUGGUAAUUUUUGUGUUACAAAGAACAACUGAGAUAGUGAAAUUCCGUUUUAGCAACAUUUAGCCUGCAAUGGCAGUGCACACAAGUCAUAAAUGUGAAACUAAAGUUGCUAGAAACUUUGAAUUGGAAGUAUAAACACGUUAACACAGAUUUACCAUUUCAGUUGUCAUCAUUCACUAUAAUUUUUCUGAUAAGUUGUAGCUGAUUGAAUCAAGUUCAUGUUUACUUGAUUGAUGCAUCAAUUUUAUUGUUGGAUUGGUAGCAAAAGCUUGGCGUAACUGAAGUAAAAGAAAUACACAAUACAAUAAAAAAGAAAGUAUUUUAUUUGAAAAAGCUGUGAACACCAGUACCAGUCAAUUGUAGGUUAUUUUGGUGCAUCAGCCAAAAGUUCUCUUAGGCAUUUUUACGAACAGAUUGCCUAUGUUUAAGUUGAAUUUGAAUUGAUUGAUCCUGCAACUUAUAUGAGUUUAUUGCUUUCUAAAUCUGAGCUAGAACCAUUCCUAAGUUCCUUUUAAAGUGUUAGCUAUUAUUGAAUCCAUUUAAUUUCUUGAUUUUUGCUUGAUUGGAAUUCUGCCCACCAACUGUUUGUGAUAAUCACAGUGGGGCGUUUUUUAUUGCAUCGCUGCAGCAGUAUAUUCAUUCAAUUUCUGCAUUAAUCUUGUUGGUUCUAGAUCCGUGUGAGUGUUGUGGUGGUUGCAGAUUAGUUGCAGAUAGCUUUGCAUUGCUGGUAGCAUAUUAGAAAGAGGAUUGGUGAGGGUGAAGAUUGGAUUGAAAGUUGGUUUUGGCAGCAGUCAACAUUUUUCGGUGCUGCAGCAGAAUUGUUGCAGAUCUGCAUAAUUGACUGUAACAUCUGGUGCAGUUUUGAUACAGACACAGAAUUGAAAGCCUCACUUUCUGCAACUGUGAGAUUUGUGGCUGCACUUGAUACCUACAAUUUCCUUUGAGAGAGGCCAAAGUUGCAAUUGCCAUUUCCCUCCACCGUUACUUUUUCUUUGCUGCAAUUUGUGUAUUUCUUUAUUUUCCAUUUCUUGUAAUCUAGCUAUCUACAGCAAGUGCAGGGGAAGAGCUCAUAAGUGUUCUCCUCUCAUUUGCUAAACUAGACUUAAAGUCUCACAACCUAAAAUUGGGUAGACGGUGAGUGUGUCUUAGAUCCAAAGUCUAAGCCUCACCUAGGAGACCUCACUUUAAUUGCUUUUCUAAUUCUCGACUAGAUAGCCUAUAUCUUGUGCGAAUAGGAAGCUCUCUUAGGGGUCCAAAUUUAGAGUUUAGGUUGUUUUUCUUUGCUUUGUGUGUUUUUGUUGUCUUUAAGACUUAAGUGGAUUUAAGAGUGAUUUUGAUCUAAGGACUCUAGUAAGUAGCUAGAAGCAUAUUUGGCAAGGAUAAGGCUUGGUACUUAAGCAAUCCUAGUGAUUCACCUCCCUUACCUGGAAUAUUGCUUUCANGGCAAGGAUAAGGCUUGGUACUUAAGCAAUCCUAGUGAUUCACCUCCCUUACCUGGAAUAUUGCUUUCAAGUGAAAAUCUUUAGUCUUUAUUUCAAGAAUAACAUUUAAGUCCACCAUAAUGUCUAGAAGGCAUUCUCCUAGGAUUAGUGAUAGUGAAAAUCAACAAGAAAAUUUUACUCUUCAAACUUUAGUCAAUCAAUUCACUGAGAUGAGAAAGGAAAUGCACCAAGAAAGAAUCAAUAGAGAGCUUCAAAAUGCUAUGAUUCAAGAUGAGUUGAGAUUGUUAAGAGAAGAACAAAAUAGGUCUAGGGGAAGUCUAAGUGACCAUUCUGAAGUAGAGGGCAUACCUCUAAAUGUAGGGGAUUACUACAAUCAACCUUCUUCUUCUACGAAAUCUAGGAGAAAUGUUCAUGUGCCCCCACACCCUAAAGAAGUCCAUGUUGUGUUGCCUCACUUCCAUGGGAAGGACAAUGUUGAGGCUUAUUUUGAUUGGGAAAUGAAGGUGGAACAAUUGUUUGCUUGCCACCAAGUGAGUGAAGAGAGAAAGGUCUCUCUAGCUACCCUAAGUUUUCAAGGGUAUGCAAUGUAUUGGUGGACUGCCCUAGUCCAAGAGAGGCUUAGACAUCAAGCCCCUCCCAUUCAUUAUUGGAAUGAUCUCAAGUCUGCCCUUAGGAGGAGGCACAUUCCCUCCUACUACAAUAGAGAACUCAUGGAUAAACUCCAAAGAUUACAACAAGGGUCUAUGACAGUUGAAGAAUAUAGACAAAAGAUGGAGUUGUACAUCAUGAGGGCAGGAAUAGUGGAGGCUUCAGAAAUUACUUUGGCUAGAUUUNUAGGUGGGCUUAAUUUUGANAUUAGAGAUAGGGUUGAAUUANUACCUUAUAGAGAUUUGAAUGAUCUUGUUCAAAUGUGUAUCAAGGUAGAACAACAAAAUUUGAGAAAAACCUCUUCUAAGAGAGUUCAAAUUCAACCUAUCCUUGAAAAGAAAAUUUUCAAAGACAAAGAGCCUUUUAAACCUCUAGCCAAAAUAAAUGAAAAUCCCACACAAGAAUCCUCUUCACACACUCACACAAGAGAUAUCAAGUGCUUUAAGUGUCUGGGUAGGGGACAUAUAGCUGCUCAAUGUCCUACCAAGAGAACCAUCAUUCUUAGAGGUAGUGACAUUUAUAGUAGUGAAAGUGAAUCUCCCACUAGUGAAAGUGAGAGUGAACAAGAGAAGGGAGAGGAAGUCUUUGCUGAAGAUNGUCAACUUCUCAUGGUGAGAAGAGUGCUCAAUAAUCAACCUAGCUUAGAACAUCUAUCUCAAAGAGAGAACAUCUUUCAUACAAGAUGUAAGAUUCAAGACAAAUAUUGUUCUCUCAUUGUUGAUAGUGGAUCUUGCUGCAAUUGUUGUAGUGCCAAGCUAGUUGAAAAGUUAAAUCUUGAAGUCAUACCCCAUCCAAAACCUUACAAGCUUCAUUGGCUCAAUGAAGAUGGGGAUAUAACUGUCAAGAAACAAACUAAAUUGGCAAUUUCCAUUGGGAACUUUAAAGAUGAAGUGAUUUGUGAUAUAGUUCCCAUGGAAGCUUGUCAUGUGUUGUUGGGAAGACCAUGGCAAUUUGAUCAUGAAACCAUACAUCAUGGUCUUACCAACACCAUAGUUGUGCACAAAGGAGAUAAGAAAUUUGUGCUUCAUCCUUUGACACCUACUCAAGUUGUAAAGGAUCAAGCACAAAUGAAGGAAACUAGGGACCAAGAAAGUGAACAAAAGAGAAAAGAAGAGGAAGAAAGACAAGAAAAAAAAAAACAGAGAAAGGGAAGAAGUUGAAAGAAAAGAAUGGGAAGAAAAGGAAAAAGAGCAAUUAAAGGCAAUAUCUCCUCCUACACUUACAAUANAACCUAAUCUAUUAAGGGGAGGUUUCUUAUCCUUUCACUUUUCUCCAUUUAUUUUUGAAAUUCCAAAAUCUCACUCUUCUUUCCAAGAAAUUGCCAUGUCAUUUUUAAAAAAGCUAAAACUUUCAACACAUGGCAAUUCACACCUUGAGUUAUGGUUACCUCUUUGGUUACCACUAAAUCAAGGGAAAAAUAAAUUUUCAAAAGAAGUAACGCUUCAUAAAAUUACAAAACUUGAACAAAUGAACAUUAGGAAGCCUUCUUCUAAACAUUUUGUUUUAUACAUUUUGUUGGGUCAUAGAAAACUAAUUAGAAAUAUGUUUGAUGUUUAUUGCAGAUUAAUAUUUGACCCAGGUGGAAGAUCUAUGAAGACUACAAAAAUAAGUCCUCAAGCAACCACCAAAUUUGAGGACAAUCCUUUCCAAGGGAGAGGGGAUGAUGACUUGGGUCCAAGCAUACUAGAAGCAUAGAAGACUCCAAGAAGAGCUUGGGGACAUAGAUCCAAAUAGGCAAGUUCUCUUCAUACAUUUUAAGUGGAAUUUGGAGACACCAAGAGAAGGGCAAAACUGUCCACAUGAAGGUUGGAGUUGCUAGCAGCACCCCCAUUCUUGGCUAAGCACACCUAUGGCCAAUUGAUCACGUUUUUCUUAAUUGUUCACAUUGUAAAUAAGGCUUCUAGAUGCCAGCAUGCUUUUCAUUGCUUUGACACGUGGAUGGAGAUCCCACUCUUUAGGAAUUCAUCCACACCACACAUAGUUCAUGGGAUUUCUUAUAAAUCCACAUUGCAGCACAUGUAAAAACACUUUGGAUAUCAAUGAGAAUUUUCUUCUUUGCUGAAUCAUUCUUCUCAGCCGAGAGAUACUCUGCCAAAGUCACCUUCGCUGAUCUUCAUUCCAUCUCCUAGCUUUCUUCCAGUUCUUGGAAGCCGUCUGAAGCUAGAUCUCCUUCUACAUAGAUCUUCAACCACACAUCUACUUCACCUUGCAUCCAUUAUCAUCACUGCUGGAACAAACUGCUGCAGAAUCAUGGCUUCUGCAUCUCAUCCGCUAGAGCAGCUCAUCAUCACAUAUGGAACUUUAUUAUGUUAACAAAGUUCACUUACCUAGAUAUAUAAGGCAAAGAGUAUAUUUUCUUGCCUCUUGCAAAACUUCUUAUCAGAUUUGUGUUGAUCUGAUCAAAAUCAUUUGAUUCAUGAAUGGAUUGGGCAUCAAUGAAUCCAUAAUCAUCAGAACGCCCCAACUUGUUACUGACCCCAGACAUAUACCUGAAAUCAAAAUGUAACUUUGAUAUAAGGAUACUUGAUAUAUAAAUCAAUUUUAUAUAUAAAUAAUUGCUCGUAGACUUACAUGAUCCAUAGCUUAAUAAUUGAAAUAUUCAAUUGUUGUGUUCCUGACGCAAGCUCUCUAGUAUCUUAGCUAUGAAGGUAUAAUGGGACCUCCGAGGCUGCCCCAAAUGUAUUAGCAUCAUACUCAACCUCCAAAGGCUUAUCUUCAAGGAUGUCAGCAAGUACAUGCAAUGAAGCAAGAGGAUCAUCCUCAGAUAGAGGAAUCUUCUGUUGUGCUUGCAUCUGUUGUUACAUAGAAAAAUAAGAUAAGUUUUGACAUCAAUAACCUUUAAAAUUGAGAAGUGUAAAGAAGAAUUUCAUACCAAGGGGUCAGAAACUGAACCAACCAAAUGUUUAGGCCAAGCGAUAAAGGACUUGAAUGCUUCUUCCACAGUGAAAAUCUCAUCUGUGGCCAGAGGAACUAAGGCCUCUGGUAUGAUCAUUUCGUCCACCGAGACCUUCAUCACAUCCUCUGAUAGCUGCAUACCAUGAAAAACAGUCACUGACUUAAAAAGUGUUCCACGAGCUAGUAGGACCGUGUCGGUAUCGUCUAAAAUGUAUAGCAGACAUGGACUAGCAUCGUCCAUGUCAUCCCCUGGGACGACUGGUGCGGAACAACUUCCUUUCCCGCUUCUCCCUGUCAGAGUAAAUGUCAGAUUAUACAAAACAUAGAAAUAAUUGCACAUAAAUGUUUAUUAAGUUUACCUGUGGGAAGCACAACAUGUUCCUGUUCCUGUACAAGAGAUGGCACCGGGGGCAUUUCAUAGGUCUCAAACCGCUGCUGGAACAUGGAGAUGAACUCAUUAUACAACUCAACCCUGAGCUCUUAUCUAACCUUGUUUGUGAUCUCGUCCGUAAGGUCCGCUCCGACCUUUUUAGUGAUCUCUUGUGUCAUCCUUUCUCUUUGUGCCUCGCUAUAUGCAUAUGAAGGCUGACGAGAAGAGCUCCCAAAAUAAUCUUUAAUUCCUACUCCAAGACCAACAACACGUACACGUCCAGGGUGCUCAGGUCGUCCAAUCGCAGUAGUAAGAAUAUCCUGGCGACCCUCUGGAGUGAAUUGACCUUGGGAGCUCUGCUCAACCAAGGAAUCCUGUAACAUUACAAAACACCAUUAUUCUUUAAAAAGUUCAAUGUAGUAUGUAUAAUUACAAUUAUUAUUAUUUUACGAACAGUGAUAACUUACAAUUCUUUUAGAAAUUUCCCGUGCAGUAUCAGAAGAGUAGGUGCCCGAUGGUCUCAUACGAGCCAACUUCCAUUUUUCAUGUCUAGAAGGUGGAGGAGGAGGUCGAGGGGGGCUACCACCCUGAGAUGGUGGUCUAGCAUCUGCCUUUUGCUUGAGAAUUUUCUCCUCAAGCUUCCUAUACCCACCACGAGAUAAUAGGUGGAGGUUUUUGUUAUGAGCACUUGUUCCUUGUGCUUUGCUUCUAAUUGCCUGUCACAUACACAUUAAUUAAUUAGUUCAUAUGAUGUAUAUUUAUUAAUGAGGAAUUGAAUAAUAUCAACUAUACUAACCUUCCAUUCCUCUAACAUCCGACUCUCUUUAAAAAGCCGCCAAGUCUCCUCAUCAAUGGACUUAUAUGAACUACAUGGAGACUUAUGUUUAAGGUGUCCAGAGAUAUAUCUUGAUAUCAAAUUACUUUAAAAGUUUCUAAAGUUUUCAGCAACAGUUGACAAACACUUAUUUCUAAGUGUUGCGACAUUUGGAAUGUCAAAUGUCAGUUGAAAUAAACAUAAUAAAGUUGUAUCAGUACAAAAUUAUCAAUAUAAACAAAUUUUAAUUCAAAUGAUAUUAACUAACUUACCAAUAUAUCGUUCCAUAUAAUGUUCUGAUCAACCUCGGACACAUGAUUAAAAGAUGGAGUGAGAAUACUAAUCCUAUCACGUGCCACUACUCCAAGGUAUGAUCGGAAGUCAUCUGCAUUGGGGCCAGUUGCCACACCCGUGAUCACGUUCACAUUCACUGAAGUUCUUUCACCACUAUUCUUUCUGAUCAAAAGUUGUUUCAUCCUGGUGGGUCCUCUAGUGGAUCUGGUAAGGGGAGCCUCAUCCCCUGAAGAAUGUGGAUGAUCAGCCAUAUAUCUGUCAAAAUAAAUAGCAACAUGAAAUAUUAAUAAAAGACUUAUGUAAUAUCAUAUAAUUUAACAAAACAUGUAAUAGUAAUAAUAAGAAAUAUAUAAAAGGAAAACUUAUGUGAUAUUCAUAAAAUACUUAUACAGAAAUUGAAAAUUCAUACAUAAAGAUAUGGAUUCAUCAUAUGUAUAUUCCUUCAUCAUGAUCUGAUCGAAUUGCAUGUACAUCGUUGUCAACUAGAGAUUGGUUAUCCAAAUUUAUGACCAAAUGAAUUAAAAUGAAAUUAUAACUGCAAUCAAAAUCUUUCUUGCGACAAAUAAAUUUAUUUCUUAAACUAAAGAUCGAUGGUGCUUAAGCGUCAUUAUUUAAGAGAAAUAAUAAUGAACAAUUUUCUUUUGUUUAAGUAACCAUAAAAUGACUAUUUAAUUAUUUAAGCGACAUCACUCCAGAAAAAAUCAUUUUGUUCAUGUUUAACCACUUAAAAAAAAACAAGUAAAACAUUCAUUACCUAAAUUUUUAAUAUGUUUCCUUAAUCUUACAAAACUCUAUUUUUUUCCUAUUUCAGUGAAUCCUCAACUUCUUUUCUUAUGUGAAAGUGUAAUUCAAUUAUAAAAUGCAUUAAUGAUUAUCUUUAGCAGAAUCUAGGAGACCAUUUUUGGAACAGACUUUUCAAUGACAAGAUAUAAUUAUUACAAAUAUCUACCGCUAAAAUAUUAAUAAUUUGUUUUAUAAAGAUUUUGACGAUAAUUUUGUCAACAAAUUAAUUUAUUAGAAAACCUAUAACAAAAUUAACAAUAUAUAAUGUCACGUAAUCCAUCACAUUUUGUGAUGAAUUUAGUGUAGUUAGAUGAAAACGUUAUUUUUAGCAUUGACAUUGAUGUUUUCACUAGUAGAAAAACAACGUAUAAUGUCGAAUUUUUUUGUCAAUUUCACUAGUAGAUGAAAACGACGUCAUAUCAGGAAACACGUUGAAUUGAUGUCGAAUUUACGUUAAUUUAAUGUCGCUUUUUAUUAAUAUAUGACGUUAUUUAAUGUCGAAUUUUGUCAAUAUACGAAGUUAAAUAACGUCGAAUUUUGUCAAUAUACGACAUUAAUCAACUUUUUUUUUUUAAAUAAUUGGGAUCUUUUUUAUACCUCUAUGAGACUUCAAAAGCAGAAAAAAACAACAAAUUUCAAUUUUUGGUAUUUUAUAAAGCAUAAACUAUGAACUGUAAUAUAGGAUCAAUCGAAGAAUAAUAAUAAACAACAAAGAUCAAUCAAACAUCAAACAAUAACAACAAACAAGUUCAACCAAACAACAACAACAUCAAACAAGUUCAACAAAAAAAAAAUAACAAACAAGUUAUCAACAAAUUAGUUCUUCAAAACGAAAACAAAAACUAACAUGGGUUCAUUGGAAUAAACUGUUGCCACCAGUGAGAGAGAAAGCAGAAUGCGCCUAUAAGGAUAAGAACACGAAAAUAAUCAGUGAAAAUAAAUGAAAAUCAUACCUAAAGUAGUUAAUUAAUAUGCAUUUGUAUCAAAUGAAAAAAAGAUUACAUGUGAUGGUCGUCAAACUUCGUUUUAAAAAAAUUUGAGCAGAGAAAAGGGUCCUGUGCGCUAAGAUAAAGUAAAUGAAUUUUCAAUCUCCCAGUCAAUUUUUUUUUUAAUUCACUAACCUUUUAACGUCUAACGUUGGGACAUUCAACGUUUUAUAUUCUUUUAUAUCGAAUUACAAUUCUAAAUGACGUUUAAUAAUUGCAUUUAUUUACAAAAAUACUACCAAUAAUGUUUAAUGUUGGCUAUUAAAUAUUUCGAUGUUAAACAUGUGACAUUAUAAGUUGAUUUUGCACUAGUGUUUGUCUUCUAAAUUUUGGGUUAACACGGACUCUUUUUCGCUACAAUUCUGCAAAACAAGUGGUGUUUUUUUUAGGCUUAAUACCGCUUUUGGUCCCUAGUUUGGGAGGUUUUGUUCAAUAUGGUCCUACCUUUUCUUUUUAGUAACAAUUGAUCCCACUUUUUGAAAAAACUGUUCAAUUGACUCCUUUUUGGUUUCGACGUCAAUUUUCUAAGGUGCUGGUUACGACAUCAAUAAGUUCUUUCAUGCAUUCACCUAUCAAAAUGUAAUUUUAACAAUCCUGACAUAAUGUUAUGUUAAAAAUCAUGUCAUCAUCGUAUACAAUAAGGACUAUAAUAAACAAUUUAAACUUGAAUAUGGAACCACUAUGAACAAAAAGGACUCAAUUGAACAGUUUUUUCAAAAGGUGGGAUCAAUUGUUAUGAAAAAAAAAAGAUAGAACCAUAUUGAACAAACUCUCCCAAACUAGGGACCAAAAACGGUAUUAAACCUUUUUAUUAAUAAAAUUUAAAAAUAACGCCUCGUGGGUAAAAGUUGAAUAGGAUUAGUAUUUAAAAUAUAUAUAUCUAUAUAUAUAUAUAUUUAAUUAAUUCUGCGUAAGAUUGAAUUUGUUUGGCACAGUAAGUUCUAUAUGUUUAUCUGAAGUAGAAAUUAGACAUCUUAAAACAUGAAAGGUAUAAUAUAAUUUAAUUUAGAGUUGAUAAGAACGCGUGCUAAACUUGUGUUGGGAACAGUAAUACAAAAACGAAAUUGAAAUGAAAUUGCAAUUAAAUUGGGAACGAAUUCAGUACAUGAAAGGAAAAGAAAACGAAAACAAAACAUAAGGAGAGGAGAGGCAUGUUCUACGUUCUACAACAUCAAAAUACGAAUGGAAUAAUUUCUAACAUUUUUUCUCUUUGGAUGCGAAAACCUAGGGCAGGGCAAUUUGUCCUCGGUCUCUCUAAAUCUAACCUAAAAAUGGGUUUAAUGUCAUACAAUAAAACGAAAUUAUAAAUAAAAACAAAUGAUGAUGUAGAAAAUAGUAAAUGACGUGAGAAUUCUCUCUUGUUUUAAAAUAUAAUCCAAAAAUUAUUUUAAAAAUAAUAAUGAAAAUAAUUAAACUUAAAAAAUUCAAAUUAAUUAAAAUAUCAAUUAUUAAUUAAAUUAAAUCCAAAUAACAAAACUGAAAAAAUAAUGAAAAGUCAAGAACAAUUCAUUAAUUAAAUAUGAUAAAAAAAAAAGCUAAGUAGCCCUCCUGAGGGCCCCAUUCCAGGGAUUUGGCACCUAUAUGGCAUUUGCACUUAUAAUUUAACCACCAAUAUUGUAAUAAGCUGCCUGCACUACACAGUUGCAUUGGAGGUAGGUUUUGACUAAUUAUGUGUGGCAGUGGUGUACUGAAUGUGCCUCAGUACUGAUUCAUAAAUAACAGUUUUUUUUUGUUUCUUUUUAAUGAUAAGCAUAGUAGAAAAACACCAUUGUCAUGACAAACACAUUAUUCAUAGGUAAUAUUAGUUACAAAUUAUUUUUUAACAGAUUUUUAUCUAUAUAUAAUCUAUAAAUAAAAUUGCUUUAUUUAAUAAUUUUGUGACUUUCUAUAAACUUUUACAAUAUGUAACGAUGAUUUUUCUUUUAACGAAGAUUAUAGAAAAAACAAGUUAAAUAAGUUUGACCUACAAUACAUGAACCUAUUUUAUAAACUUGCAUUAAUGUACUUUUUAAAAUUAAGUAACAUCUACAAGGAAGUAACAAAAUUCUUCUAUAAUUAAGAUGUAUUACAUUUUUAUAAAUAAAAUUAAUAAUACAAAACAACAUUAGUAUUUCAAUAUAUUUUUAAUUUUUUAUACUAAUUAAGAUCAAAUAAAAAAAAUAAAUUUAUGACCAAAUGAAUUAAAAUGAAAUUAUAACUGCAAUCAAAAUCUCUCUUGCGACAAAUAAAUUUAUUUCUUAAACUAAAGAUCGAUGGUGCUUAAGCGUCAUUAUUUAAGAGAAAUAAUAAUGAACAAUUUUUUUUUUUGUUUAAGUAACCAUAAAAUGACUAUUUAAUUAUUUAAGCGACAUCACUCCAGCAAAAAUCAUUUUGUUCAUGUUUAACCACGUAAAAAAAAAACAAUGAAAACAACCAUUACCUAAAUUUUUAAUGUGUUUCCUUAAUCUUACAAAACCCUAUUUUUUUCCUAUUUCAGUGAAUCCUCAACUUCUUUUCUUACGUGGAAGUGUAAUUCAAUUAUAAAAUACAUUAACGAUUAUCUUUAGCAGAAUCUAGGAGACAAUUUUUGGAACAGACUUUUCAAUGACAAGAUAUAAUUAUUUCAAGAAUGAUCUCCGUCUACCAACCCAUCUUCUUUCUACACCUCCUCAAUUUUUUUAAAAUUCCAAGUUUACAUUUUUUACAUUUUACUUUUAUUAAUUUUACUUUUUAUUUUUUAAAAUCCUAAUCCCAAUCCCCUCUCACUUUUACUUUCCCUUUCACUCUGAGCAGUAAGCCCCUACCCCCUUCCCCACUCUCACUUUCUCUCUUUUUCUUUAUUCCCACUUCCGUUAGCACAACAUUUUUCAUUUCCAUUUCUUCUCUCACAUGAUAUUGUACAAUGGAACAUCAAUCAUGACAUUGAAACAGUGCUUGUGUAGUUGCAGUCAUUUAUAACAAGGAGCUUUCAGGUAGUACAACAGUUGGUAUAAUCAAAACCUAUUAUAAUAAUAAUAUUAACGUAAAUGAUUACAAGAAACCGUGUUUCACAUUUUAAUGGAUCACAUGGAGGUCCAUAUGGGGGAGAAAUUUAGACUUUAACAAACACAACCAGUGAAAACUCAACUAAGACGAUAUUUAUUUUAUAGCUUAAUUAAGUACAAAUUGUUGAUUAUUGAGAUUAUUUGAAAAGGAAAUAAUAAGUUAUGAGGGGAGAAGAAAGAAAUAAAAAAUCGAAGAAAAUGUUGUGAUAACCGAAGUGGAAGAGAGGAAAUGACAGUGGAGGGCGUGAGGGGCUUGUUGGUGAGAGAGUGAAAGGGAAAGUGAGAGAGGAUUGUGAUUAGUGUUUUAAAAAAUAGGUUUAAUACCUAUUUUGGUCUCUCAAAGGAGGGGUUUUGUUCAAAAUCAUCCUACCUUUUUUAAAAUGUAACAAGUAGUCCCACUUCUUGAAAAAACUGUACAAGUUAGUCCUUUUGGCUAACUCCGUUAAAAAUUUAACGUCAGAGCUACACCCCUGGACCAAGGUUCAUUACGUGUCACUUAAAAUUGAAUUGGUGACAGUGUGGUGGCAGUUUCAAGUUUUUUUGACGUGAAAUUAAAAUAAAAAUAUUAUCCAAUUUUUUGAUUAAAAAAUUGGGGUUAGGUUAAAAUGAAACUGGGGUUUCUUUUUACAGAAAUUAAAAAGAGGUAAAUGAGAUCCUUACAUUACCUUGGGGGAAAUGAAGUCUGCAGCAUCAUAGACACCACCAAGUAACCAAUCUUCUGCAACAUCAUAGGCACUACCAAGUACCUAAUCUCCUGCAGCACCACAAGCACCAACAACGUUGAUCCAUGAAUUAAUUUCAACAAAGCAUUUCCCUGGAACCAGUCUUAUAUUUCUGAAUGAUUAAACUUGCUGAAAAUUUGUUAUUAUUUUUAGGCUUAAUACCUCCCUUGGUCCUCGUAUUUGUGUGAAAAUCUCAGUUCGGUCCUCAAGUUUUGAACUGUCUCAAUUGGGUCAUAAUUUUUGUAAAAAUGCACACAUUUUACCCCAACCGUUAACUGAUCUCAAACGGCGUUAAGUUUAGCUGAGGUGGUAUGCCGACGAGAUAAUCUGUGCCGCCCGUCGGUUUCCCAAAACCUGCUUCCACCGCUCGGCGGCAAUCGCCACUACCCGACGGUAUCCCAUAUCCUUCUGCCGCCGCCCGACGGCAAUCGCUGGCGCCCGACGGUUUCCCUCAUUGACAUUUUCCAUGUCUACUCCUCGUCCUGGACCGCCCAACGGUUUAAGUGUGUUGUUGGGCGGUACGUCAACUCUUCAAAACUUCAUUUUUCUACUCUUUUCUUGAGUCAACGACCUGUAUCUUCAACUCCAUUCUUACUUUUCUCAAAUUAGCUACAAAACAAUGCAAAAUAAGCAUAAAAUCGCUAAAAGCAACUUUUGACUCUCUCUAGACUCAUUUGUUGAGUUUUGCUUGAUUUUGAGCUCAUUCUAGGUUGUAAAGGGUGUAAUUUGGUCCAAAUUGACAUAUGAAAAUCUCUGUUUUUCAACCUUCAUCAGGAACCUACUAAGUCAAAGAAGUCAUUGUGGUAUCUUGACAGUGGAUGUUCAAGACACAUGACCGGUGACAAGAAAAGGUUUAUCUCUUUUGAGAAGAAAAAGCAAGGAUUUGUAACUUAUGGGGAUAACAACAAAGGUACAAUCAUGGAAACCGGAGACAUUGGGGGAGGAAACACAUUGACUAUAAGAGAUGUCUUGUAUGUUGUUGACAAAUUGGCAAGUGUACCAAAUCGUACAAGUAAUAUAAAUGGUAAGACCAAGUAUCCUUUCCCAAGAGACUCGUAUGGCUUCCUCGUUCGCGUGAAUUAAAAUAAUAAGACUUGAGAAAUUAAAAUUUAUAAAUUGGGUUUGAGAGCAAAAAUAUUAACAUGCAAAAUAAAGGUUGAUUCAAUUGACAAACGAAAACAAUGGAUGAAUGAAUGUUGUUGGGUAAUAACAAUUUCAUCUAUUCCGCUCUCUCUUACAUACUACCCUUGAAUAUUAUAUUGAUUCAAUUGUUAUGCGACUUUCUUAGCCUCCCCUUAACCCGAUCCCGCGGUGAAAAGAGCCUAAUAUUAACUACUGGCUUGCUAUCCCUAGCCUCCCCUAGUAAUUAAUACCACAUUAUAAACAGAAGUUAGUGCAAUUGAUCGUCUUACCCCUAUCCCUAGGUGGUAUUGCAAAAUCAAGAGAUUACUCACCAGUUCAUGUCAUUACUGUACGUCCCCAUAUCAAUAACGACAAACAUCAAUAUACCGAAUGAGUUAAACGAUAAAGGCCUUAAGCACAGAUGAUAACCCAACAAUAAUCAAUCAAAACAUAUGGAGACCAUAUAAAUAUUCAAUAGUUUCAAUAANAAAGAGCAUCAAAAGAUUACAUUGUUUUCCCCAACAAUAAUAGGGUUUAGUUCACCAUAGACAUGGUGAAACUAGAUGAAAAAUGGAAGAAGAAUGGAAGAGCAAACCCUAGAAAAGAUGGAAAGGAGCUUAAGCAUCCAAGAGAUCCUCUCUAGAGAGCGAAAUUAGGUCUGGCCGUUCUCCCCUGUCAAGAGAAUGACUCUAAAUUCGUAGUAGGGGGAAUAUAUAGGUGAGGAGCGCAUCAAAAUCAGCCCCAAGUCCAGCGAGCCACCGCCGGGCGAUUUAAGUGUGCCUCCCGGCGGUUUCCCAAAACCUGCUGCCACCGCCCGGCGGUUUCCCAUAUCCUUCUACCGCCGCCGCCGGCAAUCGCUAGCGCCCGGCGGUUUCCCUCAGUGACAUUUUCCAUGUCUACUCCUUGUCCUGGACCGCCCAACGGUUUAAGUGUGCUGCUGGGCGGUACGUCGACUCUUCAAAACUUCAUUUUUCUGCUAUUUUCUUGAGUCAACGACCUGUAUCUUCAACUCCAUUCUUACUCUUCUCAAAUUAGCUUUAAAACAAUGCAAAAUAAGCAUAAAAUCGCUAAAAACAACUUUUGACUCUCUCUAGACUCAUUUAUUGAGUUUUGCUUGAUUUUGAGCUCAUUCCGAGUAGUAAAGAGUGUAAUUUGGUCCAAAUUGACAUAUGAAAAUCACUGUUUUUCAACCUUCAUCAACACCCCAAACUUAGAAUUUUGCUUGUCCUCAAGCAAAACAAAACAAAACAAAACAAUCACACAAAACAAAACUUGGCUUUCUACUGUUUGAUCCAAUGCCUCAACAAUCCCAAGGUACAUGACAAAACUACCCAAUUCGAUAUCCUCAGUGAAAUCCAAAAUAAGAUGCAUGCAUGCUUUCAACCCAUAGAUUGCACAAUAGAUGUUAUACACUANGAAUGAUCAAUCCACUAAGCAAAAAUGUACUCAUGAAAUUUAACAAUUCAUACCAAGCAAGUGUUUAACUCAAUCACUCAAGUGUUUAAGGUGACACUCCAACUCUCUAUUGUUCACAAGUCACAUGAAACAAAAUUGUCAUUCAUCUCAAACAAUCAACAUCUUUACAUGCAAAUGCCAUCAAAAGGACUUUCCCAAAGCUUGUAAUGAGGUUGGGCUAACAAGAAAGAAUUGGUUUUUCUAGAAUGCAAAAUCCUUGAAUCAAGAGAGCUAACAAAAUAUUCAACAUUUAAGCACCCUCUCACCAAUGUCUCUCAUUCCCAAUUUUUCCCUUUUCUUUUUCUUUUGCAUUGAGCUCUUCUUCAUGCUUUUCUUCUUUUCUUUUCUCUUUUUCUCAUGAAUUUUCUCUUUUCACAACAAUUGAGCUUAAUGCCUUUCACUUGCUUUUUCAAUUUUCCCCAUACAACCCCAAACUUGAACCUUUUCAUCACAUACAAGUUAGUUCAUCCCAACUCAAGGUAAAGAAUUUCAAAACAAGGGAUCACAUCCUGUUUAAGGCUAAGGUUCAAAAAGGGUAUAAUAUUUCAAACACUUUGGGUGAAAAUUUGGCUAGAGAAGAGUCUUCAAAAAUGGCCUUGAUCAUAUGAAAUUUACAUGCAAUUCAAUCGAUCAUCAAGAUUAAGGCAAUAUCAUCCAUGUUUUCCUGUGAAUAAUACAUGUAACAAUAAAAACUCUGGAGCUCAAAAUCUCACACACAUGCUUUCUCACACAAAAUUCAUUCAUACACCAUGCCUAGCAUCAUGACUACAAUCAUAAAUUCAUCACCCAUCUAUUUCCUAGACAACAUCAUGCAUUACAACUCAAUUUUCUUUCACAUCAAAUAAUCAUCAAAUAGAUCUAUCAUACACAUCAGUUAGUCAAACAUUUUCAGAACAAGUAAUAAAGCCAAGAAUACACACCAAAAUUAAAAUUCAACCUAUUCUAGGAAUUUAAAAUGCAAAAGUGUAAGAAGAAAUCUAGGUUGCCUCCUAAUGGCGCUUGUUUAACGUCGCGAGCCUGACCCAAACCUGGUUGGCACUUGACAGUAAGUGCACUGCCUUCCAUCACCCAUCAGUAGGUGUACCGUCCGGAUAUCCUUCAGUGGAUACCAAAAAAUUUAGCAUCCCUUAGUAGAUGCUACCCAAGAAUUGUUCACAGAAUUCCAAAAAGUACAAGUUCCAACAAAGAAUAAAACAAAAUCCGAAAAAGAAAAUUGUUAAUAAAAAUACAAAAUUCGAUUUCCAACAAAUUCAACUAUUCUUCUUCACGUUGGGAUCUUCAUCAUCCCACCAGCUCACUUUUUUUCGGUCCACCUUCUUGGUCACUUUUGAAUAUGGUCUUUAAAUCUCCACCAUUCCUUUUUUCCUUCAGCUCCUUUAUUAUCCAUGGCUUCUUCUUAAAUCUCACUUUGCUCCCUGGUAGAAGUGGAUCUUCUUUUGCUUUUGGGUGAAUGGUUCUUCUCCCUUUAUUUUCAGGCACCUGCAAAAUACAACAACUGUCAUACUGAAAAUUAAUACCUGGGGAUUUGUCAUCCUCUGCAACUUCACUUUUGGCUCUUUUAUAUUUGACUUUUCUAACUGCCCUCUGCAUAGUUUCUUUAGAGCCAUAAAGCAAUACCCGAUCAUAAUCCUUUACCUUUAUUCCUCCAUCAUGGAUAUGUAUAACCAUCUUGGAGGUUCGCAUGAACGGUCUUCCCAGGAUUAAUGAAUUUUUUCCUUCAUUAGCCAUAUCCAUAAUUAUAAAGUCAAUCAAAAACUCCAACUCAUCAAUCUGCACAAUUGCAUCUUCUACCAUCCCCACAGGUUUCUUCAUAGAUCCAUCUACCACUAUCAAGAUCACUUUGGUAGGCUUCAACUUUACCCCUUUUAACUUCUUGAAAUCACUAAGAGGCAUCAAAUUAAUGCUUGAUCCUGAAUCAAUCAAAGCCUCUCCUAGAUCCACAUUAUUGAUAACACAAGGAAGGGUCAAAGCUCCUGAAUCCUCUAGUUUUUGUUUAUGAUUCUUCUUCCUGGGUUUCGCCCACUGCUCCUGAUUUUCUUCAUAGCCUAAAUCAAGUAACCUCUCCAGAUAGUAUUUGAUCUUGUCAUCACCCUCAGGAGUUUGUGAAUAUGUUAUAGGAUUAAGAGGUGCCUCCUUAAGAAUUUUGUGGAGUGACUCUUUAAUGUCUUCCUUCUCCUUUUCUCUUUCUGAUUUCUUCCUUUCGCUUCUCUUAUGUGUAUUACUCAUCCUUUCCUACUCAUCGUCAUCGUUGCUGCUAAUCUCAAUUUUAAUAUCCUCUUUCCUCCUGUUGUAACAACUUUGCAUUCAUCUUUUGGGUUAACAUCAGUAUUAGCCCGAAAUUGAUGCUUCUCUGUUUCAACCCUCUUAGACAACUGUCCUAUUUUUGUCUCUAGUGAUCUAAAAGUGCCUGAUCACUCGCUUGUUGAGAUUCAUAGACCUUCAAAAAUUUAUCAAACCUGUCAGUUAAUUCUCUGACUGUCUCGGUCAAGCUGCUCAACUGCUGCCAUAAGGGAGAGGGUUGUUGCCGAAAGUGACCUCCUUGUCCAGAAGAAGUAUUCUGCCUCUGCCCAAUACCUGGAUGAUUUUUCCAACCUUGGUUAGAAGUACCUUGGUUGAAACUUCCCUGUUUGUACGAAAAUUGGGCCCCCAUAUAAUUCACGUCCUGUUACAUUUCCUCUGUAAAAGCACAUUGACCAUUAAUAUGGUCACCCCCACAUAACUCGCAUAGUUGUUGAGCUUGGGAAAUAUUCCUGAGCCCCCGAGGAAGUUCAGAAACGACCUUUAGCAACUUGUCCAAUUUCUGACUAAGGAGGUGAUUUUGUGCUGCUGCUGCGUCCUCAGUGGGGAGAUGUAAAAGUCCUCCUUUUUGCGUGCCUCUUUCAUUGUGCGACACUUCAUUGAGAGCCAUCUCUUCAAUAAAGUUGUACGCUUCAUCUUCUGUUUUUCUGUUAAUGCUACCUCUAGUCGAGGCAUCUAUCAUCAUUUUAGACUGAACGCGCAAACCUCCAAGGAAUGCCAACAAGUAUGAAGCUUUAUCAAACCCAUGAACUGGGGUUGCUCUCAACAAUCCUUUGAAUUUAUCCCAUGCCUGCCCCAGUGUUUCUUCCAUUCCUUGUUUAAAAGAAGAGAUUUCUAACUUCUCCUGAUUGAUCUUUGGUGGUGGGAAGAAUUUAAUAAUAAACUGUUGGACCACUGCUUCCCACUUCCUGAACGUUCCCUCCGGGAAAGAAUUCAACCAGUCUUUUGUGUUCCCUCAAAGUGAGAAAGGAAACAAGUUAAGUCUGAUUCUAUCAUCCGUCACUCCAGUUAUCUUCACUGUGUUGCAAAUUCCUCCAAAGACUGUCAAAUGCUUGUAAGGAUUUUCAUUUGACAACCCAUGGAAUUGGUUGUUCUGGACUAACUGGAUAAGUGUCGGACUCAUCACCAUGCUGGUUGUAUUGUCUGUUGGCACUGCAAUACUGUUAAAAUUUAAGGGGCCAACUGUGUUAGCUGUGUCCCCUAGAGUGCGUCUGGGAGGAGGUUGAUUGGCCAUCUCCUCAAGAUUUGGUUCAAAAGUCUCGGGUGGAGUAACUUCUGGAGAAAGAGACCUUUCACACAAAGGGUGUCUCUUCCUCCUCUCGUAUGGUAGACCUUCAAGCAGAGGUUGUUGGUUUUUCCUGCUUCUAGUGUGUAUUGUCUCCUACAUGCACAAGGAACACACCCUAAAAGCACUUUUAUAGAAAAUAAAAAAAAAACGCAAUAAAAGAAAAAUAAAAACAAAAAUAAUUACAAUCAAGUCAAAUCCAAUCAAUUAACACUACUAGACAAAUAAACCUCGAGUCCCCGACAACGGCGCCAAAAACUUGUUGACAAAUUGGCAAGUGUACCAAAUCGUACAAGUAAUAUAAAUGGUAAAACCAAGUAUCGUUUCCCAAGAGACUCGUAUGGCUUCCUCGUUCGCGUGAAUUAAAAUAAUAAGACUUGAGAAAUUAAAAUUUAUAAAUUGGGUUUGAGAACAAAAAUAUUAACAUGCAUAAUAAAGGUUGAUUCAAUUGACAAGCGAAAACCAUGAAUGAAUGAAUGUUGUUGGGUACUAACAAUUUCAUCUAUUCCGCUCUCUCUUACAUACUACCCUUGAAUAUUAGAUUGAUUCAAUUGUUAUGCGAGUUUCUUAGCCUCCCUUUAACCCGAUCCCUCGACGAAAAGGGCCUAAUAUUAACUACUGGCUUGCUAUCCCUAGCCUCUCCUAGUAAUUAAUACCGCAUUAUAAACAGAAGUUAGCGCAAUUGACCGUCUUACCCCUAUCCCUAGGUGGUAUUGCAGAAUCAAGAGAUUACUCACCAGUUCAUGUCAUUACUGUACAUCCCCAUAUCAAUAACGACAAACAUCAAUAUACCGAAUGAGUUAAACGAUAAAGGCCUUAAGCAUAGAUGAUAACCCAAUAAUAAUCAAUCAAAANUCCCCAUAUCAAUAACGACAAACAUCAAUAUACCGAAUGAGUUAAACGAUAAAGGCCUUAAGCAUAGAUGAUAACCCAAUAAUAAUCAAUCAAAACAUACGAAGACCAUAUAAAUAUUCAAUAGUUUCAAUAAGAGAGAGCAUCAAAAGAUUACAUUGUUUUCCCCAACAACAAUAGGGUUUAGUUCACCAUAGACAUGGUGAAACAAGAUGAAAAAUGGAAGAAGAAUGGAAGAGCAAACCCUAGAAAAGAUGAAAAGGAGCCUAAGCAUCCAAGAGGUCCUAUCUAGAGAGCAAAAUUAGGUCUGGCCGUUCUCCCCUGUCAAAAGAAUGACUAUGAAUUCGUAGUUGGGGUAUAUAUAGGUGAGGAGCGCGUCAAAAUCAGCCCUAAGUCCAGCGAGCCACCGCCGAGCGGUUUAAGUGUGCCGCCCGGCGGUUUCCCAUAACCUGCCGCCACCGCCCGGCGGCAAUAGCCACUGCCCGGCAGUUUCCUAUAUCCUACUGUCGCCGUCCGGCGGCAAUCGCUGGCGCCCGACGGUUUCCCUCAGUGACAUUUUCCAUGUCUACUCCUCCUCCUGGACCGCCUAGCGGUUUAAGUGUGUUGCUGGGCGGUACGUCGACUCUUCAAAACUUCACUUUUUUGCUCUUUUCUUGAGUCAACGACCUGUAUCUUCAACUUCAUUCUUACUUUUCUCAAAUUAACUACAAAACAAUGCAAAAUAAGCAUAAAAUCGCUAAAAUCAACUUUUGACUCUCUCUAGACUCAUUUAUUGAGUUUUGCUUGAUUCUGAGCUCAUUCCAAGUAGUAAAGGGUGUAAUUUGGUUCAAAUUGACAUAUGAAAAUAACUGUUUUUCAACCUUCAUCAUAUGUUGAAGGCCUCAAGCACAACCUCCUAAGCGUAAGUCAAUUAUGUGACAAAGGUCUCAAGGUAACAUUUGAAAGUGAUAAAUGCACAGUUUACUUUAAAGAUUUUACUAAUAUUGCUUUGCAAGGUGUUAGGCAUAACAAUAUUUAUCUAAUUGAUAUUGAAAAUGCAUCUAGUCAUAGUAUAACAUGCUUAGUUGCUAAAGAGGAAAAUCCUUUGCUAUGGCAUAAAAGAGCUGCACACAUUCAUAUGCAACAUUUGAAUAAACUUGUUUCAAAAGAUCUUGUGAUUGGUUUACUAAAAUUAAAAUUUGAGAAAGACAAAUUAUGCACUACAUGUCAAAAGGGUAAACAAACCAAAUCUUCAUUUUCAUCCAAAAGCAUGAUUUUACUUCAAAACCUUUAGAACAUAUGGACUUAUUUGGUUUGUCUAGAAUUAAAAGUUUUGGUGGAAAUUUCUAUGCUAUUGUAAUUGUUGAUGAUUAUACUAGAUUUACUUGGACUUUAUUUUUAACUUUGAAAAGUGAAGCCUUUAAAGCCUUUAAAUCUUUUCCUAAACGUAUUCAAAAUGAAAAAGAUUUGAAUCAAAACCUUGAGAAGUGAUCACGGUGGUGAAUUUGAAAAUGAAUCUUUUGAAAAAUUUUGUGAAGAACAUGGCAUUGCACAUGACUUUUCAACACCUAGAACUCCCCAACAAAAUGGUGUUGUUGAAAGGAAAAACAUAUCUUUAGAAGAAUUGGCUAGAACGCUUAUGAAUGAAUCUAAUGUACCAAAAUAUUUUUGGGCUGAUGCGGUUAGUACUGCUUGUUAUGUAUUUAACAGGAUGCUUAUUAGGCCAAUUAAACAAUUAACUCCUUAUGAACUGUUAAAUGGUAGAAAACCAAAUGUGUCUCACUUGAAAAUUUUUAGAUGCAAAUGAUUUGUCUUAAAUAAUGGUAAAGAUAAUCUUGGUAAAUUUGAUGCAAAAUUUGAUGAAGCAAUUUUCCUAAGAUAUUCUUUAACUAGCAAAGCAUAUAAAGUAUUCAAUAGAAGAACUUUGAUAAUUGAAGAAUCAAUGCAUGUUGUUUUUUAUGAGAUUGUGGACCUUGAGGUAAAUCCUCUUGAGUCAAAUAAACCUAUUGCAGGUGAUGAGGAUUAUUUAAGGGAAGCUCUUGAAGAGAUGUACCUAAACGAGAACUAUCUUCUGGAACUUCAAGAAACACCUCAAGCUGUUGAUCCUAAAAGUUAUCAACAACCAAAAGGACUAUCUUUGGACAACGUCAUUGGAGAUAUUUCAAAAUGGGUAACUACUAGACAUAAUCUUAAUAAUUUUUGUCUAACUGUAGCUUUUGUGUCUCAGAUAGAACCCAAGAACAUAAAGGAAGCUCUUCAAGAUGAUAAGUGGUGUGUUGCUAUGCAAGAAGAGCUAAAUCAAUUUGAAAGGAAUGAAGUUUGGGAACUUAUUCCGAAGCAAGAUGAUUAUCAAGUCAUAAAAAAAAUGGGUAUUUAGAAACAAGCUUGAUGAGGAUGGAAACAUCACAAAGAACAAAGCAAGGCUAAUUGCAAAAGGCUACUGUCAAGAAGAAGGUAUAGACUAUGAUGAAACAUAUGCACCGAUAGCCAGGUUAGAAGCAAUUAGAUUAUUACUUGCAUAUGCAUCUUUGAUGAAAUUUAAACUAUAUCAAAUGGAUGUGAAAAAUGCUUUUUUAAAUGGUUUUAUAAAAGAGGAAGUGUAUGUUAGUCAACCUCCUAGUUUUGAGGAUUUCAAAUAUCCUGAUCAUGUUUACAAAUUGAAAAAGGCUUUGUAUGGUCUUAAACAGGCACCUAGGUCUUAGUAUGAUAGAGUUAGUACCUUCUUAAUUGAUAAUGAAUUUUCUAGAGGUAAGGUUGAUUCAACAUUGUUUAUUAAGAAAAUAGGUAAACAUAUCCUGAUUGUGCAAGUUUACGUAGAUGAUAUUAUAUUUGGGUCAACUGAUAAUUCUUUGUGUGAAGAAUUUGCACAAAUAAUGCAAGGUGAGUUUGAGAUGUCUAUUAUGGGUGAACUGAAUUUCUUUUUAGGAUUACAAAUAAAGAAAAUGAAUGGAGGUACCUUUAUCUCCCAAACGAAAUAUUGUAGGGAAGUUCUUAAGAAAUUUGGUAUGGAUACUUGCAAAGAAGCAAAUACACCUAUGGCAACUUCAUGUUAUAUAGAUAAGGAUGAAUCUGGAGAAGGAGUAAAUGAAACUCUGUUUAGAGGUAUGAUAGGAUAUUUAUUGUACCUAACUACUAGUAGAUCAAAUAUUAUACAAAGUGUAUGUGUGUGUGCUAGGUACCAAGCCAAUCUUAAAGAAUCACAUUUGACUACUGUCAAGAGAAUCUUAAAAUACCUUAAGGGAACUACUUCUUUUGGACUUUGGUAUCCCUCUGAUGCUUCACCUAGUUUAUUAGGUUAUUCUAAUGCAGAUUAUGGUGGUUGUAAAAUUUAUAGAAAAAGUACUAGUGGAACCUGUCAUUUUCUAGGUUGUUCUUUAGUGUCUUGGCACUCAAAGAAACAAGUGUGUGUAGCUUUGUCUACUACUGAAGCUGAAUAUAUUGCUGCUGGCAAUUGUUGUGCCCAAAUUCUAUGGAUGAAACAAAAAUUGGAAGACUUUGAUAUCUUCCUUGAUCAUAUUCCAUUAAAAUGUGAUAAUAUCAGUGUUUUAAAUCUAACUAAGAACCCCAUAAUGCAUUCAAGAACUAAGCACAUUGAAAUUAGACAUCAUUUCUUGAGAAACCAUAUUUAAAAGGCAAAUUGCCAAAUUGAAUAUAUUGAUACCUUACAUCAAUUAGCUGAUAGUUUCAGAAAGGCACUUCUUAAGGAUAGAUUUUAUGAGCUUAGAAGAGAGCUAGGAGUUUUAGAUAUGUCUUAUGAUCAAAGCUUAUGAAAAUUUUUCAAUUUUCGUAUGAUUAGAGUUUUUAAUCAAUUAUCACAAGGUAAUAAUCGAUUAUUUUUGGCUUUAGGAAUCCCUUAAUCGCAAAUAAUCGAUUAUCUCAUGGAAUAAUCGAUUAUUCAAACUCAAACUCAAAUCUAGAAAAUUAUGAACAAAUAAUCGAUUAUCUUCAGGCAUAACCGAUUAUUGUGCAAUUAAUGGUAAGUGAGUGAUGAACUGAUUAUCGAUUAACACUAAUUAUAAUCGAUUAUCACGCGCACAGUUCCAAAAAUAGAGUCGUCGGAGAGCUCUAUAAUGGCCAUAAAUGGCUAUAUACGACCAAUUUUCUGGUUUCCCAUUAUUUGAUUGUAUGGAUACUAUGUCCUAGAGGAUGAUUCAUUAUUUGAUUGUAUGGAUACUAUGUCCUAGAGCAACCAAUCAUGCUCAAUGCUCUAAGCAGGAUCUACUUCUUCUGUAUGGGAUCUUAAAUCACAUACACAUUGGUUAGCCUGCUCUUAUUGCUGACACCAUGGUAAAAGCUAAGACAUCUCAUUCCUAUCAUUUUCCUUAUGCUCUUCUCAUCUUUAGAAUUGUAGAAUACAAAGGUGUUAAUGUGGAAGGAGAACAUGUUCGAGCAAUUCAAGCUAUUGGUUCUGAGAUUGGAGACACCACUUUUUGCCAAAUGGGAUUUGUUACUCGGGGAAAUGCAAUUAUUCAUAAAGAUAAUGAUCAUUCACAUGCUGGUGAAGAAGAUGGCAUGGAUACUCACAUGGUAGAACCAGUUAAUGUUGUUGCUCCUUCUGAUGAUGGUUCAUUUAACAUGCCCUCAUCCUCCUCACUUACCAUGGAAGAACAUUUUGCUAGAUUAUCUAAGAAAUUAGAGGAUUUUAGUCUUGCACAGAAAACUCACUUUGAAGAAAUUUAUGAGUGGCAGCAAGCUCAUAACGAAUACGUGGUUGAUCAAUUUCUUGAUCUUGAUGUUCGCCUAACCAACAUUAAAACUCAUCUAAACAUUCACCCACCUGAGAGAUCCCCCAGCCCUGAGUUUUAGAGAUAGGUUUCUAUAUUAGUAUGUUUUGUUGUUUGAUUGUUGAUGCUUCUAUUUUUGUUGAUAGUAUGUUUUUUUCUUUAUGAUGUUAAUGUACUCCUUUUCCUUUAUGAAUAAAAUGAUCUUGUGUUUUUCAUACAUACAUUGUUUAAUUGAGUGGAAGAUUAUAUUAAGGGGGAGCUUUGUUACAUUGAUCUUUUUGCUUAUGAUCAAAAAGGGUGAGAAGUAUAUGUUUAAGGGGAGAAGUAUAAUAUAAGUUGAUACAGGUAUUGCUAACCUUGUUGUUGUGUGUUAGUUUGUAUGUUUUGCAGGUAAGUCAAAGUUGCUUUUAAAACUUGAAUUUUUUAUCAUCAUAAAAAAGGGGGAGAUUGUUACUAAUGAGGAGCAUUGCUAAAUCUUGAAGAAAAUUGUUUUGAUGAUGCUACAAGAAGUUUAACCUGAAGAAGAUAUGCGAUAUAUUUUUUUAAAAGCAAUUUGUAGAAUAUGAAUGUAGUAGGAAAGUCCUAAAAAUUUGUAAAACUUGUACUUUAGAUAAUAUACUGAAAUAAUCGAUUAUGAAGAGCAAUACUCGAUUAUCAUAAGUCUUUCAGGAAUAAUCGAUUAUCACUCCAAAUAAUCAAUUAUCAAAUUUUUUUAAAAACCUGUAACGGACUUGAAUAAUCGAUUAUCACUUACAAUAAUCAAUUAUUACUGGCAGUUGGGACUUGACCUUUGAUAUUCAGACUGGCUGAUUAUAUAUUGGAAUUCUAAGAACUUCAGAAGUAAUGUUGUUGAACAAGAAGCUCUUAGAGAAUACUGUUUGUCAGAGGAAGUUCUCAAAAGCUAUAGUUCAAGUUCCCUUGCUUGGUCUCGUUAAUAGGAGAAACUCACGUUUCAUGUGUCGAUAGUCGGAGUGGUUCUCUUCGAGUUAGCAAGGUGCUCUGCCUGGUCUCGUGAAUAGGAGAAGCUUGCGUUUCAUGUGUCGAUAGUCGGAGCGGUUUUCUUCGAGUUGGCAGAGUGUUCUUCUUUCGGUUCGUUCGUCGAAGGAAGGUUUAAUCAUAUUUUUAUUCAUUACUGUUAUAAUCUGAAAAACUGUUUUUAGUGAAACUGUUAAUCAAAUUUUAUAGUGAUUAACGACUGCACGUAGAUUCUUUUGAAUCGAACCAGUAUAAAAAUUACUUGUGUGACUUUUCUACUCCCUACACUCUUUAAUUUAAUUUGCACAUCAACUGUUCGACAAAUUUUCUCUUAGAAAAUUCAUUUCUGAAAACUAACCAUUUUAAUCUAAAUAGUGACCGAACACGUUUUCAGCUAUUUUAAGUUUUAUUCCGCUGCGUUAUACCCUCCUAACGAUACCGAUUGUUCCAACAAAUAAAUUGUCAUAGAAUCAUUAUUUUCUACUACUGUUAACGAAAAUGGCUGGAUUAGCAUCAAUACUUCUUCAAUUUUUAGUGCAAGCUACUCUCUUUCAUGUUCAAAGAUAAAUAAUGCACCUUUCUUUCCAAUUAUAGUUUAGAUUUUAUACUCCACCCUAUACACAACAUUCAAUAGUUUUCAUAUUGAAUACAAUAUGAAAAAAGAGUUAAAAAAUAUUCAUCUAUGCACUAUGUAGAACUGCGGCAAUUUGGAACGUUGUUCAUUUUUCAUUAACUACCAUUCAAUGACUUUUUUUUCAUCUCUCCAUGCUAAUAAGUUUCCUUCCAUGGAAACCUGUUCUAACUUCAUUUACGGACAAGAGUUUAUAAUUAACAAGGGGCUAAUUAAAGUGGGUCAAGUACUACCACACAAAGACUUUCAAAUAAUUUGCAAUAGAAAUUUACCAAUUUAAGCUCCUUUUCUGGUUUGUUUGUUUUCAGUUCUUUCAAUUACUUAAUAUAUAAUUAACUUAGAAAAGAAUAAUUGUUUCAGUAGGAUUGAGAUAUCUAACCCAAAGCAUUCAAAGUUGUCCGCUCCAUCAUCUAGUUGCGCUAUUCUCUCUCUUCUCAUUGUCCUAACUGCUGGGGAGGGUGUCUGCAAAAGACACUCCGACACUUAAGUCAGUGACUUUGCGUAAUAAUCUUGUAAUAAAGAUUAGUUAUCAGAAUUCAAUUACCUACCUUUUCUGUCAGACAAAUAUUUAUAAAUAUGACAAUGUGCUUAUCAUUAGGUUUGACUCAUUAAUCACCAAUAAAUGACAUUAUUCCUAUUAAUUGUCAAUAAAUGGUAUCAUUAACUUCCCGUUGAUUGCUGAGAUUAAUUUCUAGAUUGAUCGAUCAUUUUUUCACUAGAUGGUUAGCAACCCGGUCCUUUGGCUAACUAGGUGGUUCUACUAUACACAAGCCCUCCAAGUCCAAGCAAGCUCUUUGUUGGAAGAGGUGCGCAAGGGUUAUGAUGAACCUGAGAGAGACCGUUAAUGUUGUAUUUUUGAUGAGCGGCAACUGAUGGGAGUUCAUUUUAGAACUUUUUCCUACGUUGAUAGGAAUUCUUUUGGGAACUUUUUCCUAUGUUGAUAGGAAUUCUUUUAAGAACUUUUUCCCAUGGUGAACAAUAGACUCUAGGAUCCUAUAAUCUGCACGGAAAUAAAAUAACAAUUCAAAUUUGAAUUGUUAGAAAAGUGUAACCAAUAAAAUUAAGCUAAUUUGAGUUAUAGGGCCAUACGACCGGACAAGCAAGACCGUUGGAUUUUUGAGUGUAUUUUGACACUUGUUUUUAUGCUUUGAUGUCAUCGAUAAGGACCGAAUGUUGCCUAAUUCAUGGUCACUGUUGUAGUAGUUCUCAUGGACACUUUCAAAGAUCCGAUCAUACUCUAUGAUGGUUAUUGCAUCAAGCAUUUGCUAAGAACUUGGCAAUCAUUUUUGAAGUAAUUUUAAAAAGUCUCCAAAAGCGGUGCCAUUAUACCCGAAAAGCCACACCAAAUAUGACUUCCACCAGGCAAAAAAAUUAGAAAAUUAUAUGCUUCUGCAAACCUAACAAUAAUUACAGUCGUUGUGGAAACUAUAACAAGGCUCAUUAGAUAUGUAAUCCGUUAGGCAACGCUGCCUCAGUAACAGCAUAACUACAUAGUCCGAAUUAGUGUUGCAACCCCAAUUAAAAUGAAUCUUUGCACUGUCACCAAAUUAUCUGCUACUUUAACUUUAGCAGCUCCACGGGGAAUAAUUAUAUGCGCCAGCCUUUGCGUGAAAUCCAAGGGCCUAUAUUAUUCAUCUGUCAGUCAGCAUGCAUCUUCUGCACAGAGUAGCAUGAAAUCCAACCCGCUAGAGAGGUUUAUUUUUCCUCAUCACCACUGGUAAUGAUGAUGUAUUUUCAAUCUAAGCAUUCAAGUGAAUAAAACUUGAAAUCCAAAACAGUAGGUCUUACAAAAAAAAUAAUAAAAUAAACAAAACAAUUAAUCACCCUCCUUUCGUUCAACAAUUCAUCGUCCUUCACCAAGGGAAAGAAAAUGCAAUCUGACCCAAUCCUCGUCAUCGUCAUUUUCAGAAAUGCCCUCUUCCUUUACAAGGUUUAGGUUAUCAUAUUCCUCUUUAGUACGAAGCUUCAAGCAUUUGAUCUUAGCGAUGGUUGGAUGUGGAUCCUAUGCAUUUGGAGGGGAAAUUUGGGGAAAAGAAACCCAAAGAAGUCAGGUAGCGAUUGGGCUCAACUCCACCAAUCUCCAUUGGAUUGAAUUUUUGGCUAUUCUGCAAGGAUUUUUUCACAUCCUUUUCCCGUGUUGCGGUUCCCACUUAUUCAAUAGAGAAACUGUGGAAAAGCUGGAUUUGAACCCCGCUCAAUCUGAACCGUAGGGAGCGUUGAUGUCGACCCUCAAAUCCAAGAAAAUAGUAGGUGCGCCAUUGGACUCUUUGUUAUUGAAUAAAUCUUUAAUAAUAUGAUAUGAAAUAAAGAUACUGAAUUAAAUUAUUCAACAAAGAAUAAUAAAAUAAAUUUAGGAUGACAGGGUCUAAUGGAAGUAUGUAGUGAUAUUGAGACCAAGCUCGUCUGGCUUGUAGUGGCCAAAAGGGAAUUUUAAAGAGUCCCACGAUGGUCCUCAAAAUGUUUUGGUAGGAUUCAGAUCCCUAAUCCAAAGUAUUUAAAGUUGUCUCCUCCAUUAUCCAGUUGCGUUAUUCUCUUUCUUCUCCUUGUCCUAGUCCCAGGGAAGGGUAACUUUGCGUAAUAAUCUUGUAAUAAAGAUUAGUUAUCAGAAUUCAAUUACUUACCUUUUCUGUCAGACAAAUAUUUAUAAAUAUAACAAUGAGCUUACCAAUUGGUCUGACUCAUUAAUCACCAAUAAAUGACAUUAUUGUGUAGUCCACGUUAAUACCCACCUCUUCGGCGUCGCUGUCUUCCAAAAGCCGUGAGGAAUCCUCGCUGCCAGAUGGCUUGGCCUGGUCACUAGCUAUAGCGUUCCUCUCGUCGACGGCACCCGAGGAGGAGGAAGAAGAAGUGGCAACCUGGUAGUUAGCAUACCCCCCUGCCUUCUUCAGCGGUGAAGUCAGAAGGGGCGUGAGAAGACAUAGUUACUUGAAGCAGAAGGUUACAGCGAUUGAGAAGGGAAGAGUAGGAAAAAUGCUCAUUUUUCUAAAAGACGAAGGUAAAAGUGAAAAUAUAAGGUGACCCUACCACUAUUUAUAGAAGAUAAAGGCGGUUCACCAAAUCCAUCUAGAGCAUCCAAAGGGAAAAGAUCUGACAGUUCAGGCGUUGUGACGUUACGCUUUCAUCUUUUCCCACCCAUUUUUUAUAGUCGUGACACUUCAACUUCCACUUUUCCCGCCAUUUUGCAGGUAUUGGAAGGACGUAACGGUUGAUGUGUCUGUCACGAUCCAUGAGUCCCUAAACCGAUUGGUGGAAACUUAGAAACCCCACGCAAACGUCCAAAGACUUUGUUAGGGCUUAGGGCACUUAUGUUACUAUGGACUCGAAGCUAACUGAUCCAGGAGGAUAGCAAAUUGUAGGGACAAAGCCGAGCGGGAGGAUGUGCCAGAAAGCGUCUUGAGACCGCUCGGUCCCGACAUGCGUUAAGCAGAGUUAAGGCGUAAUUAAUGUCAUAACGGCUACGAUCAAGCGGUUACAAUUUGCAUUGAUGAUCAUUAAGAGGUAAAUUAAUUGGUCAAAUCCUUAUAAACUAUAUAAAUAGGGGUUUACUUUCGAAGUAAACUUUACUUUUUGACUUACUAUUGAAUUACGAAAGAUCUACAGAGAAAAGUUCUUACUUGAGCGUCAGAGUGUAUUCUGCAAGUCACACCCCCUUGAACCGAUCGGUUGGUUGGAGCAUGGAGCAAGGAGAACGUUCGACACAGAAUCGGCACAUGCAAUUAUCCUCGUCCCAUUUCAGCAGAAACAAUAAUGAUAAACAAUUUGUCUUUUCGUUUGCUACAUUUAGUGAUUCCUUUAAUCAUUUCAGAUUUAUAUUUGUAGCUAGAUUUAGUAUUUGUGUCCCAACCGUGUAUAAAAUAAAAUCAGAUUCCAAUCAUUCAUUAUUCUGUUAUUGCUUCCUAAUGCUUGUUUCAGGCUUAUCUCAUAAAGUUUCAAGAGUUGUAUGGAAAUCUAGUUUUUUUUUUUUUUUUUUUAUCAAUGUAGGUCCAAUAAAUAAGAUCACAGGUCUCAGAAAUUUCCCUUUAAAAAUUUUCAAUUACCAACAAUUUUGUGAAAUCAUCAUAUAGUUCAUUGAGAGAACACGGUAAAUCAGCAAAACCAUGUUCACAAAAUGAUGAGUUAUUAUAAUAACAUGUUCACUUGUCCUUUUUCUGUAAUGGUAAAAAUGAACCAGUAAUGUGCAAAACAUUGAACAACGAGCAAUCGCGUGACUAAAUGGCUAAUGUAAUAUGUUAGUGUUUUGUGGUUGUAAAAGAAAUAGUUGAUGGGAUAGAGAAAAUGUAGAGAAAGUGGAAUGUAGAGAAAAUGUGGAGAUAGUGGAAUAUGAAAGUAGUAGUUGGAAGAAUUGUUGUAGUUGACUUUAGUUGUAGUAGAUUUUGACUUACAUGCUUCAAAUGAUAGUACACAUUGGAAUUUAUAGACCCCAUCUCUUUUUCUUGACUAUUCUAGAAAAUUCUAGUUAGAACUUAUGUAGAAAGUUCUAAGUUUUCUACCUAUAUGGAAUGUUCUUGAUUUUUUCUUCCUAUCUUAGGUUUUUCUAUAAUAUUCUAGAAUUUGUAUUAUAUUUCAAUUAUUCUAUCUUAGGAGCUUAUACAUUUUUCUAGAAUUUGCAUUAAACUUUAAUAUUCCUCCUUGAUGUAAAUUCGAUAACUCCCAACAUAGUGCGUCAUAGUUCAAAUUUUGGCCUUGGUAAUGCCUUUGUAAAAAUAUCUGCAAUUUGGUUUUCUGUUGAGCAGUACUUGAGUCAAAUUUGUUUAAUUGUCUCUUCAUCUUGAAUGAAAUGAUAUUUAAUGGCUAUAAGUUUUGUUUCUUGACAAGGGACUAAAUUUUUUGAUUUUGCUAUUGUUGAUUUGUUGUUGCAAUAAAUAAUAGUCGGUCCAUCUUGUGGUUCACCAAUUUCUUCAAGUAUUCUUCGUAGCCAUAUUGUUUGACUCAUGGUUUCAGCAACUACUACAUACUAUGCUUCUAUUGUUGAUUGAGUCAUGGUUGCUUGUUUCUUUAAUGUCCAAGAUAAAAUUGUGUUUAUACUAAUCGGUUUAUAGUCAAAUAGAGUAUUUUUUUUUAUAUUUGGGAUUAAUAUUUUAAUGAUUGAUGAUACUUUGAAAUGCCAAAAUUAUAUUCAUUUGAUACUAAAAUAAUAAUAUUUUCAUUAUAUUUAUAUUAUUUUUUAAAUUAAAAGUGAAAUAUACAUUAUUAUAGGUGUCAAAUGAAUAUAUUUGUAUGAAAGUGACAAAUAAACUUUUUUUCUAUUUUAAUAUGAUCUCAGCGUUUAUAUGUCAUAUUUGCCUGUCUUACAAUAAUAUAUUUUGUUCAAUAUAUCACGUGUUCAAUUUUUUCUUUAAUUUUAUAAAUUUAUUUUAAAUUUUAUUCACUAGUGCAAAAAGGACUUUAGACGUCUGUUAUUUUGGGCUUUUAACGUCUGUUCUCUGUCUGACGUCUAUACGGGUGACGUUAAUGAGACAUUGGACCCUUUAGGCCAGACGUCUCUAUAGACGUCGGACCUAUUUAGGUCAGACGUCUAUAUAGACGUCCGAUCCAUACAAGUCAGACGUCUUUGAGGUUGCUCCUGACUAAUGGUAAUUCGAGUUUACAUUUUAUAUUUUAGUUUAAGAGAAUGUAUUGUAUAUUUUUUUUAAUGGAUGGUUUUAAAAACGUAGUAGAGGGAAUUGGAGAGUGCAAAACGCAAGAAAUCGCCGCUAAAGAACGCCACCCAAGAACACGAGAAUAACUGCACCAAAACCCAACGAAAACGCAUUUUAAUCGGUUCAAAUGAAAGAUAAUGCAUAAAAGAGUGAUGUAGUCAGAGUAAAACUAAUUUAAAACAGUGUAAAAGUGAGAAAACGAACUUGAAAAGCGUAACCCAUAGAGAGAAAAUGCGACGAAUAACUGCACAAAAACCCAACGAAAGCGCAUUGUAAUCAGUUCAAAUGAAAGAUAAUGCAUCAAAAAGUCAUGUAAUCGGAGUAAAACUAAUUUAAAACGGUGCAAAAGUGAGAAAAUGAACCUGAAAAGCGUAACCCGUAGAGAGAAAACGCAACGAAGACGAUAAACAAUUGGUGCGCGUAACAACUACCUUGCGAUCAUGGUGUUUUAAUUCCGACAUUUAGAAGUCGGUUCCCCUAUAACAGACGUCUGAUGGGCUUUAGAAGUCGGUUUCCCCCCAUAACAGACGUCUAAAUGAAGUCAAAAAGUAACUUUUUAAAUUUCUGGGUUUAGGGUUUAGACAUCGGUUCCCACAAUAACAGACGUCUAAAGUGCUGUAGAAGUCAGAUUGGCGGGAUCAGACGUCUAUAUGGAGCCAAAAAGUGACUUUUUAAAUUUUUGAGUAUAGGGUUCAGACGUCGAUUCCCACAAUAACAGACGUCUAAAGUGCUUUAGAAGUCGGAUUGGCGGGAUUAGACGUCUAUAUAGAGCCAAAAAGUGACGUUUUAAAUUUUUGGGUUUAGGGUUUAGAAGUCGGUUCCCCCAAUAACUGACGUCUAAAGUGCUUUAGAAGUCGGAUUGACGGAAUCAGAUGUCUAUAUGGAGCCAAAAAGUGACUUUUUAAACUUUUGGGUUUAGGGUAUUGAAGUCGGUUUUCCCAAUAACUGACGUCUAAAGUGCUUUAGAAAUCGGAUUGGCGGGAUCAUACGUCUAUAUGGAGUCAAAAAGUGACUUUUUAAAUUUCUGGGCUUAGGGUUUAGACGUCGGUUCCUCCAUUAACUGACGUCUAAGGUGCUUUAGAAGUUGGUUCCCCCCAUAACAAAUGUCUAAAUAGAAUAAAAAAUUAUUUUUUAUUAAAUUUUUCGUUUAGUUUUGACGUCUUUUCGGGGGAGCCAACGUAUAUGAGGGCGUAUAGACGUCGGUUAUGAAGGCCUCGAUGUCUAUCAUAUUAUAGACGUCAGGGACCCUCUUAUCUGACGUCUAUAUUGACAACUUAUUUACGAAAGUGCCACCAAUCAUUAAUUUACGUUGGAUCCCCGCUUAACUGACGUCUAAGGGGUGAUGUUAAAAGCCAAUUCUGCAGUAGUGAUUAAGAAAUACACCACUUGUUUUGUAAUUGCGGCAUUGUAGCGACAAAGACGUCCGUGGUAACCCACAAUUUAGAAGACAAAACAUCUCUCAGUGCUAAAAAUAACUUUUUCAUCUGACUACAUUAAAUUCAUCACAAAAUGUUAUGGAUUACGUGACAUUAUUGUUAAAAAUAACUCUUGAUCCAGUGCAUUCCAACUCUCUUGUGUUUGUUAGGUGUUUGAGGAAAUUAUGCAGAGAGAUGUACAAAGUGUAAGACACCAGAGAGAAAACUAGAUUAGUUUUUUUCAUUAACAAUACAAAGUAUAUAUUUAGAGUUUAUUCAGCAGAGGAUAAAAGGAACUGAUUGUCAACAGAAAAUUAAAACAAUUAGAAGUUUAGUUUUUAUUCUUAACACACGCCUUUAAAACUAAACUUUGUAGGGGUUUAACUCCAAGUGAAUCCUUCAAUUUCUCAAACCUAUUUUGCCUUACGACCUUAGUGAAAAUAUCUACAACCUGUUCUUCUAUGGAGCAAUAUAUCAAUUUCAAUUUUCCUUUAUUAACCUAAUCCCUUAGACAAUGAAACUUGGUUUCUAUGUGCUUGUUUCUGCCAUGUGAGAUAGGAUUUCUAGGUAGACUAAUAGCAUACUUGUUAUCCACUAAAAGUUGAAUUGGUUUUCUAUAAUCAAUCUUCAAUUCAUCAAGAAUUUCUUCCAACCAGGCACAUUGGCAAGCAGUUUCAACAGAAGUUAUAUAUUCUGCUUCACAUGAUGAGAGUGCAACCAUAUUCUGCUUCUUAGAACACCAAGAGAUUGAUGCUCCUAUAUACUUAAACAAGUAGCCAUAAGUGUUAUUUCUAUCCACCUGCUCAGCACUCCAAUCCGAGUCACACCAUGCCUCCAAAGCUCCAUCUGUGUUGUCAAACUUCUUGGGAAAGAAAAGACUGAGGUCUGCAGUUCCUUUCAAGUAACGCAAAAUGUGUUUGGCUACAGUAAAAUGAGUCUGCCUUGGAUCAUGCAUGAAUCUACUAACUAAACCAACUCCAUAAUUGAUGUCAGGCCUGACAUUACAGAUAUACCUGAGUGACCCUACUAUUUGUUUGAACAAAGUUGCAUCCACCUUACUUUCUUCCUCCUUGUUAGACAGCUUCAGAUUUGCCAUUACUGGAAUUGAAGUGCAAUUGUAGUCUUUCAUAUUAAAUCUUUUCACUUCACGGUUAGCCACCAUAUCUCUUUCAUUCAAGGUUGCACCUUCGCCAAACGGUUGAAGCCGUCACUGCUCGCUAAUUCGAAACCACGUUAUCGAGAACAGUAGUUGCUUUUUGUAAGAUCCUAGGAAAUGUGGUAAUUUGGGAAUAAUGUAGUUAUGAGACUUGAACAUUAUUGUUUAAUAAUUGGUGUUUGAUGAUUAAAUGUUUUCUAAAAUUAAAAUUAUUAUGUUUAUUAUUUAAUGUUAUUAUUAAUUAAGUGAAACAUAUGAUUGUUAUAUUGUUAUUUGAAUGAUUUGUGUAAUGUAUUGUUAUUAAUAUGAUGUGUUGGAUUGAGGGUAGAAGGAUAAUUUAAGAUUGAAUAGGUGUGAGCCAAAUUCUAGAAAGAAAGAGAGUUAAAGUAAACUUUUGGGUUUUAAUUUGUAUUUUGGACCCAAGGGCAAAAAGGUCAUUUUAUCCUCAUUAAUUAGUGCAAAAAUUAAGUUAUGGGGGUGUAGAAAGUAUAGGAAAGGAAAAUAAAUCCAAUAUUAAAAGAUUUGGUGGUUGUUGAUAUUAUUUUAAUUAAAAAGAUAAAGAUAGAAUAAGAAAAGAUAUAAAGGAGGAAGGGAAACUAGGAUCUCAUAAUUUUAACCUAUAUAUCUAAAACGUAAAAGAAAGAGAUAGGGAAAGAGUGAGGGUUUUGGGAGAGAAGAGGAAGAACUGCAAAAACCUUAGAGAUUGGUAGUGUUUUAGAGUGUGACAAAGUACUAGGAUUUACCAGGUGUGGGAAACUUAUCUUUGUUUGUGAAUUAUUGUAUGUUAUAGACAUGUCAAACAUAGCGAAGUGUUAAACAUUUUAAAGUUUUUGGAAGCGUGGCUUAUGGACAUGUCCUAAGUCAACCCAAAAUGAAACUUGAUGACAAUAAAGCAAGAAAUAUGUUUUCAUUGGCUAUGAUGAACAGACAAAAGCUUACAAGCUGUACAAUCCGGUUUCAGAAAAAAUUCUGGUAAGCCGAGAUGUCAGGGUAAAUGAAAAUAGUGAAUGGAAUUGGGUUGACUUAAAGGAAAAGCCUUCUUAAAGCAUGAUUUCUAGUGGAGAGGACUCAAAUAUUAAUACUAGAUGUCUGGAGAUCACAUAUGAAAGGGUGAAUGAACAUGAUUAAAAAUUAGACGAUCCUAUAAGGCCAAAAUUUUGGAGUCUAAAUGACAUUUGUAACUCCACUGAUGAGGUACAUGUAGUAUAUCUGUUGACAGGUGCAGAAGAUGAAGAAUUUAAAGCUGUCAACAUCAUUUCAAGAAUUAAGAAAGUUGAUCGGCAUGGAGGAAGAAAAAAAUUUAGGUUUAUGGGAGAACUUUGUUAAAUAAACUUAAAUUAAAAAAAGAAUUAAAAGUGCAAGUUUCGAUUUUGUUGGUUUCAAGAGAUAUUUUUCACUUGUUUAGUUUUUAUAUUUUUGUACGUAACAGUUUUAAUUCUUUUUUAUAAGGCUAUUAUAAUGGCCUUGUUCAAUUAAUGAAUAGCAUAAUAUAUUUCAGAAAAAAAAUAUUUUUCGUGCGUGAGUAUUUGAAGGUCUUUGUGUGCUAAUACUUGUCUCACUUUAAUUAGCCCCUUGUUAAUUAUAAACACUUGUCCGUAAUUGAAGUUAAAACAGGCUGGCAUGGAAGGAAACUUAUUAGCAUGGAGAGAUUAAAAAAAAGGUUUAAACCUCUUUUUGGUCCCUAAGUUAUAAGCGGAUGUUUAGUUUAGUCCCCGUUUUUAAAAAUGUAAAUCUUUGGUCCCUAAGUUAUAAAAAAUGUAUCAAAUUAGUCCCUAAACGGUUGAGAAGUAUGUGUUGAUGGAAAAUGACCAAUUCCAAAUUGUCACAGUUCUAAAUAGUGAAUAGAUGAAUAUUUUUUAACCGUUUAUUCAUUUGAUAUUCAAUGAUGAAAACUAUUGAAUAUUGUGUAUAGGGUGGAAUCUAAACUCUAAACUAUAAUUGGAAGGGCAAAUGCUAAUUCCACCAACUUUCGUUAAAGACAGUAUUGUGCGUCAAAGUUUUCAAGGAACGGUAAUUAAAUAAAAAUUCUGGCUGGGUGAUUAUUCGGUGAAAAGGACAUCAAUUCACCUUGAGAGUGAGACAGAAAGGGGAAAGAAGGAAAGAGAAAAAUAUUCCAUUUUAAUAUGAGGCUACCUUUAGGUGCUAUUUCACUAGACUUUUUACUGUAAUACAUGUUGUAAUAAUGUCUUUGAUGAAGAAUAGACCCUAUUUUAGUCUAUUACAUGUUUACAUGUAUUAUUUAAAAAAGGUUUAAAUCAUUUUUUGGUCCCUAAGUUAUAAGCUGGUGUUCAGUUUAGUCCCCGUUUUUAAAAAUGUAAACCUUUGGUCCCUAAGUUAUAAAAAAUGUAUCAAAUUAGUCCCUAAACUGCUAAGAAGUAUGUGUUUAAAAUCAUGUAAGGACAACUUUGUAUCAUGUAAGCAUGCAAAUAUUUCAGAUCACCCAUACAUCCACCAAAAAAUCAGUCCCAACUGUUAAGGAUUGAGACUGAUUUGAUACAUUUUUUAUAACUUAGGGACCAAAGGUUUACAUUUUUAAAAGCGGGAACUAAACUGAACACAAGCUUAUAACUUAGGGACCAAAAAGGGAUUUAAACCUUUAAAAAAUCUUUUCCCACUUGCUUCAACUUCAUCUUGUCAACCCUUUCACUGUUUGCUAUUUUCACAAUUCACUUCCUUUUUAGAAAGAAAAAAAUAGUUAGGAACGUUGGAAUAUAUUAAUUGGCAACAGGAAAAAGAGUAAACAAUUGGAUUGCAACGUCCUAAACAACGAUCAAAAUUUUUAAAGUGCUUCAAUGUUAAUUAUUUUGCUUUUAUUGCCUUUUAUUUCUUUUAUUCUUUCCUAGCUCUCUAUAAAUAGAGAGUCUUUAUCCCCUAUUCCAAGACAUACUAAAUUCAGUCUUUCUCAUUCUUCUCUUUUUUGAGUUACAUUUUUUAGCUCUUUUCCUCUUUUAAAAGUAUUAUAGGUUAUUUUUGUACUCUUUUUAAAGAUCCUUAUUAGUUCUGAGAUCCUCAGAGAACACCGCAGAUAAGUCCUUAAGGGCAAUGACUCUACACGCCUCAGGAAAUACUGUCUUGUCAGUUUUUUACAACAAUCUUAAAGACUUAUUACUAACAUCAACAAUAUGCCUUCGGACAACCAAACCUUUGUUCCCGAAAACCAGACGAUCUUCACAAAAUCACUUUCGGACAUGUCGAAAGUCGACGUUUUCUCCGAACAGAACUUCUAGCGCUGGCAAGAAUGUGUGUCCACCCUUUUAAACAUGUAUGGAGUUCGUGCUACUCCCAAAAGGUACGUACACAAACCUGAUCACAAAAUGAAAAAUAAUUUUCUUAAAUCUCGUCCCAAUGAAUCUAAACCCACCUGACAUAGAGUAAGAAACGACAAUCCUCCUAGAAAAAAUAUAGUCAAAGGAGAUGCCAUUAUUGCUGCAGUCGUUUCUCAAGUAAAUCUGAUGACCAAUGUGAGCAAAUGGGUGGUAGAAUUUGGUGCUACCAGACAUAUCUAUGCAAACAUAAGUGCCUUUACCUCUUACACUAGUGUAGGGGAUGGAGAAGAACACGUCUACCUCGGUGGUUCCAACACCACUCCUGUUCUGGGAAAAGUAAAAGUUGUUCUCAAACUCACAUAUGGAAAAACUCUGGCCUUGAGUGAUGUGCUACAUGUGCCAUCAAUCAGAGUUAAUUUAAUAUCUCUAGCACUAUUUGGAAAGGUGGGGGUUAAAGUGUUAUUUGAGUCUAACAAGAUUAUUAUGACAAAAAAUAAUGUUUUCGUGGGGAAGGGAUAUCAUGAUCAAGGACUUUUCAUUCUAAAUGUUUCUGAAAAAUAUUAAUGAAUCGAGUUCUUCUGCCUAUAUUAUUGACUCGUAUGAUAUAUGGCAUACUAGAUUAGGACAUGUGAAUUCCUUGUAUGUUUUGAAAUUACAACGAUUAGGAUUGAAUAAUAUGUACGAUAAACAAAGUAGUGAACGUGAUAUAUGUAUAAAAGCUAAAAUGACAAAGAAAACAUGUUUUUCUGUAGAACGCCAAACUGAACUGUUAGGGGUAACUCAUACUGAUCUAGCUGAUUUAAAAUAAACCAUGUCUAAAGGAGUUAAAAAUUAUUUUGUGACCUUUAUAAACGAUUAUUCUAGAUACACCAAAGUUUACUUAAUCAAACAUAAAGAUGAAGCCUUUAAUGUUUUUUUAACCUAGAAAGCAUAAGUAGAAAAUCAAUUGAAUAAUAAAAUUAAAAGGAUUAGAUCAGAUAAAGGUGGGGAGUAUGUUUUGUUUAAUGACUAUUGUGUUAUAGAAGAGAUUAUCCAUGAAGUGACCCCACCAUAUUCACCCGAGUCUUAUCGAGUAGCUGAGAGAAAAAUUAGAACCCUUAAGGAAAUGAUGAAUGUUAUGCUUGUUAGUUCUGGUGCACCUGAUAACCUUUGGGAAGAAGCCUUGCUUACUGCAUGUUUUUUACAAAAUAGAAUACCCCAUAAGAAAAUUGGUAAAACUCCUUAUGAGUCGUGGAAAGGUUACCAACCUAACCUUAAAUAUCUAAGAUUUUGGGGGUGCUUAGCUAAGGUGAUGUUACCCGAUCCUAAGAAAAGGAAAAUAGGCUGUAAAACCUCUGAUUGCAUGUUCUUAGAUUAUGCUGAACAUAAUGCUGCUAUAGGUUUCUAGUAGUAAAAAGUAACAUACUUGAGAGAAACUCUAUAAUAGAGAUGAAAAAUGCUGAUUUUUUUGAACAUGUGUUUUCCUUAAAGGUUAGUGAGAUGUCUCAACCCGUUGAUGAUAAUAAUAGUAAUAGUGAUACCAUGAAUGAGAAUUUAAGAAGAAGUAAAAGACAGAGAAAGGAAACUUCCUUUGGAGAUGACUUUUAUACUUAUCUUGUUGAUAGUGAUCCAACAAGCUUUGUAGAAGCUACUAGUGCUCCUGAUGCAAAACAGUGAGAUAAGGCCAUUAGGACUGAAAUUGAAUCAAUUCAGAAAAACAGUACUUGGACUUUAGUAGAUUUUCCUAAAGGAGAAAAACUCAUUGGUUGUAAGUGGAUUUUUAAGAAAAAGUAUCAUCCUGAUGGAUCCACAGAGAAGUAUAAGGUAAGAUUAGUAGCAAAAGGUUUUACUUAAAAACCAAACAUAGAUUACUUUGAUACUUUUGCUCCUAUGACUAGGAUUUCCUCUAUUCGAGUGUUAUUAGCUUUAACAACUAUCCAUAAACUAGUGAUACAUCGGAUGGAUGUUAAAACGUCCUUUUUGAAUGGUGAUUUAGAGAAAGAAAUUUAUAUGGCUAAACCUGAAGGGUGUGUUGUACCCGAUCAAGAGGACAAAGUAUGUAAACUCUUAAAAUCCUUGUAUGGGUUGAAACAAGCACCAAAACAAUGGCAUGAAAAAAUUGAUUAUGUGUUGCUUUAUGAUGGUUUUUCACCUAAUAAUGUUGAUAAAUGUGUGUACUCUAAAUCUGAAAAUGGUGAUUAUGUCAUUAUAUGCUGUAUGUGGAUGACAUGUUAAUCUUUGGUACAUGCAAUGAGAUUGUCACUAGAACUAAAUUGUUUCUAGAAUCAAAAUUUGAAAUGAAAGACAUGGGUGAAGCCAAUGUGAUUUUAGGUAUUAGAAUCAUAAGGAAGGGAGAUAGUAUAUUACUAUCUCAAGAACAAUACAUUGAGAAACUUCUUAAGAAGUUUGGAUUUUAUGACCUGAAACCAGUUAGUACCCCUUAUGAUGAUGAUUCUAAAUUAAUUAAAAAUAAAGGAGAAUCAUUAUCUCAGCCUCAGUAUGCCUAGAUAAUUAGGAGCUUGCUACACUUUGUGAGCUUUUCUAGACCUGAUAUUGCUUAUGCAGUAGGUAGACUGAGUAGGUACACUCAAUGUCCAAAUCAGGAACAUUGGGAUGCACUUGCUAGGCUUAUGAGAUACUUAAGAGGUUCAAUGGAUUAUGCCAUUGAAUAUAGUGGAUUUCCCACUGUACUAGAAGGGUACAGUAAUGCUAACUGAAUCUCUGAUUCAGAUGAGACAAAAUCCACUAGUGGUUAUAUAUUCACACUUUGAGUUUGUUGCUCUUAAGAUGGUUGGUAAUAAGGUUGAGUGGUUGAAAAACUUCUUAGCGAACAUUCCACUAGGAAUGAAACCAACCCCAUCGGUAUCAAUAAGCUGUGAUUGCUAAUCGGCAAUAGUUAUAGCUGAAAAUAAGAAUUACAAUGGAAAGAAUAGACAUAUACAAUUGAGACACAAUUUGGUGAAGCAGCUGCUAAAGAGUGGAACUAUUUCCAUUGAUUAUGUGAAGUCAGAACGAAAUCUAGCAGAUCCUCUAACAAAACCCUUGGGAAGACAAAUGAUAUUAGAAAUAUCGAGGGGAAUGGGACUUAAGCCACUUGCAAAUAAACAAGUGAUGGUAACACAACCUUUGUGAUUGGAGAUCCCAUGAAUAAGGUUCAUAUGGGUAAAAACAAGUCACUUGUUAGUUCUGAUAGCACUAAAUUGAUUUUAAUCAAUUAUGUCCCUUCCUAUGGUGUGUGUGAAAGUGCUAGAGACUACAUUAUUGAGAGGUUAAACUUUGUCAUUAAAAUUUUAUGUGCUAAAGGAAUUUUAGUUUAAACAAAGUUCUUAAUGAUUUUCAUAUCCCUUAUGGGUUGUGUAUGAUUUGCAACUUGAUAAAAUCACCUAUAUGAGUGUCGAGUGGGGCUGUUUGCAUGAGAUCUUGGCAUGAUCUCUAGAGCACUCAUGAAUAUCGGGCAUGCACAUGCCCUUGUAAGCGCAACACAACUAUAAUAGCAAGGAUUGUGAGGGUGUAUUGUGAUUGAUAAACCUCUAACACAUGUUAAGUGUCUUUGGUUCAUAUAGCUUGUUAUACCAACUACACUGUGUGUUAAGUAUCUCAAUCUAAGACUGGUUCAUAUAGCUUGCUAUACCAGCUUUGAUGCAUUACAUCCUAUGAGACCCAGAAUAAAAGUUUCUUAUCUUUCUUUAAAUGUUUGAACUAUUUGAGUCAAAGACUUUCUUUCAACUCUCUUUUGCAAUAUGUAGGGGAUUGUUAUAAUAUAUUAAUAUUAUAUUGCAAAAGUUAAAACAUUAAUGUGGAAAGUUUGUUUUGAACGUUGGUAUAUAUUAAUUGACAACGGGAAAAAGAGUAAACGUUGGAUUACAACGUUCUAAAAAUUCAUUGAGCAAUGAUCAAAAUUUUUAAAGUGCUUCAAUGUUAAUUAUUUUUCUUUUAUUGCCUUUUAUUUCUUUUAUUCCUUCCUAGCUCUAUAAAUAGAGAGUUUUUCCCCCAAGACACACCAAAUUUAGUCUUUCUCAUUCUUUAGCUCUUUUUCUUUUUUAAAAAUAGUCUGGGUUACUUUUAUAUUUUUUUAGAGAUCCUUGCUAGUUCUGAGAGUGCGCAAUAUAUCACGGAUAAGUCCUAAAGGACUGUGACUCUACACGCUUCAGAAAACACUGUUUUGUUAGUUUUUUAGAACAUACGUGCGCAGGAUAUUGUACAUAAUUAAUAUACUUGUUGUCCAUUAUAUACAAUUUUAAAAGGAUUAAACAACACAUAUCUUUUAUCCAUUCAAAUAUUCGCAAUGUCUUAUUUUGAAUCCACUCUUGUAUCCUUUCUUAUGGAUCCACUAGUGCAAAAACGCUGUUUAACGUCGGUUAAUUUGGGCUUUUAACGUCACUUUUACAACCGACGUCUAAACGGGUGACGUCUAUGGGACGUCGAAAUUUGUCAGAACCGACGUCCAUAUAAACCUUAGUUAACGAUAUCCACCGACAUCUAUAUAGACGUUUGCUUUUACUCAAACCGACACCUAUAUAGACGUCCACCUAUGAUUAAACCGACGUCAACUUGAAUAUAUAAAGAGGUUUAAAAUGACACUAACCGACGUCUACGAUGUUAUAGACGUCGGGCAUGGAUUUAACCGACGUCUAACAACGACUUUCUGUUUUAGUGCAGUUUUGAUCCAGACUUUUCGAUAGCAUUGUGCAACACUCUCCUGUCGAUAGUUUCCCCACAAAAAAAGCUUGCGUCUUUUGAAUCUUCUAGUUCUUUCAACCCAAAACCGAACCUGGGUCCAUGGCUACUUCCAAGUAUUCAACCGCAACAGAAAAAAAUUACGGUGUCGAGAAGUAGACAAGGACCCAAGUUCCAUUUUGGGUCAGAAGAACUAGAAAACUCAAAAGAUCGCCACUCUUUUAGUGAGGAAACCAGCAAAGGGAGAAUGUUGCACUAUGUUACCGAAAGAAUGGAUCAAAACUGCACUAAAACACAACACAAAAAAAAUUUUAAUCAGUUGAACGACAAGAUAAUUGAUAAAAAACUAAAGAAAGUUUAAAUGGUAAGCAUAAGAAAAAACCACACACCUGGGAUGAAGAGAGAAAAAGGAGAGGACGAAGACAAUGACGUUAUGAAAAAAUACAAUGCAAUGCCAGAAGAGAUAAAAAAUAGAGGUGCGCAGGGGAGUAAAAGAAGAGGAGAACCAGAGAAAAAGGAGAAGAGAUGAAGACGCGAUCAGAAGGGUCUGCGGUUUAUUUAAAAUUAAAUUGGGCGUCGAUUGCGCCAGAAACUGACGUCUAUAGACGUCAGUGUUUGAUCGGGAUCUGACGUCUAUUCUUCUUAAAGAAGUUGAAAAGAUUGACGCUUGAUUUCCUGUCAAGGUAAUUCACGUCGAUGCCCCUCCUAGUCGACGUCUAAAACCCUCGAAUUUGGUGAAAAUAAUCAAUUACAGGAACGUAGACGUCGAUUACGUUCUGAACCGACGUCUAAAUUUAAGGAUUUUUUAUCUUUCCGCCUUCCAGAUAGGCCUUAGACGUCGUCGUUUGACUACGUGACGUCUAAGCGCCUGGGAAUUAGGUGAACAACAUUAAUUGUAGCCCCAGUCGACGUCGCUUGUUCAGGGGAUCUGACGUCUAUUCCUCGUCUGAAGCUGAAUCGUUUGAUGUUUGAUUUCCUGUCAGAGACUGGCACAUCGGUGCCCUUUUCUAGACGACGUCGAAUUGUCUGUCUUAUCACAUACCUCAGGCAAUUUGACGUCGGUUUGAGGUAGGUGCGACGUCUGUCAUGUCAUAGACGUCGCCUAACAUCGAAACGGACGUCUAGUUUACCAAUAUAUUUACGAUAAUGCCACCGUGCAAUAAUAGACGUCGGUUUAUCACGAAUUCGACGUCUGAUGGGUGACGUUAAAUAGCGUUUUUGCACUAGUAAUCAAACCAAUCACAAUAAAAUAAUAUAAUCUUCAUUUUAGCCGUUGAGAAAUUGUGCACAAACUCAUACAUGUGUUUAAUCAUACCAUAGAAAUAAUUUUCACAUCUUUCUCUAAGUCCUUUAACAUGAAUCCAGUUUAUCGUUCUCUUGUCCUGAAUCUAUAUAUGCAUAUGAAAUUUAUAUCCAUUCACAAAAAAUGUGUGUCAUUUUUUUACACAUCUUAAAGAAUCAAGUGAUAAAUCUUUAAGAUGUUGAUUCUUCACACUUGAACGUUAAAAAAGGAUGAGAGUGCACUGUGUGUCGACAUCGGAAACAGUAGAAAAUGAAUCGAACUUGUAUAGGAAGUGAAAUGGUCAAACCUUUUUAACCUUGGUGAUUUUUAAUAAUAGUUAUUGCAUAAAAUCGUUGUUAUUUUGCUAUAGUAAGUAUUUAACGAAAAUUACAGAUUAAAUCCUCGUCAUUUUUAAAAUAUGUAACAACGGUUAACUGUUGAAUUAUCGUUAUUUCACUAUUUUGGACUUGUAACGACAAUUAAUUUAGGAGCUACCAUUAAAAAAAUCACAUUAAAUACAGUGCUAUCACAUUCUUAUUCUACUAGACCAACUUAAUAAAUAUUCAAUGUCGUGGUAGGACAUUUUUACUAGUAAGAUUUCGUUUUAAUUACUAUUAAUAAAAUUAAUUUUUUUUAUUAAGAUUAUAAAUUUUGGUUAUAUACUAAAAUUAAAUAUAUCAAUAUUUAUUAUAUGAGACGCAAUAAUGUGAUAAAAAAAGCUAUUUAAUUAUCUUUAAAUUAUAUUUUAUUUUAAGGUGAGAUAAAUAUCUAAGAAAUGUAAAAUUGAAAUCUCACUUGAUACAAAGCUAAAUUACAUAUUAUUUCAAAGAUUGAGAUGAAAAAGGAUAUGAUAUGUUAACAUUCUUUUUAAUAAUUUUUUGACAAUAGAAUAUGUAUCACUAUCUUAUUUGUCUAUUUAAAUUUAUUUUUAAGAAAAUAUUUAAAACAGAAAAACUACCACAUAUACAUUGUAAAAAAAUUGUCAAAAUAAAUUGUUAAAAAACUUUUUCCGAUUAGAAAUAAUAUUAAUUUUUUUUAUGCAUUUGACAUGUCAUAUGUAGUAAAAUACUUUUGAAAGUUCCAUCCAUUGAUAACAGAAAAUUAAACUCAGAGAGAAAACAUACAGAAAUAUUAUUUCUUCUCGUGAACUCGUUUUGUAGCCGUUAGACACUAUGGAUAAACCUCAAUAAUAGACACUAAUCCCACAGUGGGAGUAAUCUUGUAGUUACUAAAACCAGCAGAGAGAAUUAGGUUGGCCCACUCUUUCUCGUAUCUUUCUUUUCCAGCGAACAACAUCAUCAUGUACAUAUCAAAGAAAAAUUGCGCCUCAGUCAAUUCAUGGUCUUCCUUCUUAUUCUCCAUCACAAUGUCUAUGAUAAGAACCCUCCCGUCGCUAGCUAUUGCCUCCUUGCAAUUUUUCAGUAUUUUCACACAUUCCUUGUCCUUCCAGUCAUGCAAUACCCACUAUUUGAUUGUCACAAAGUAAAAAAGGAUAAGAAUCAAAAAAUUAAAAACGGAUAAUCAACUAUGUCUAUAUGAUUCAUAUUCGUUUUUUUUUUUUCUCUACUAUGAAUUUAAGCUGUAAUGUUUGUAUAUGAGGCCCUACUUUCGGUUUUUUGAUAGGUUUGUAUUAUAUUUAUUCUAGAGGUUACUCAUUUGUCAUUAUGGACAAUCCUUCUAUGCCCCCAUUAAAAUAAAGGAUUUUAAUACGUGAAUCUAAUUAAAACACGUCAUCUCUCUCCCUGUCGAUCUGGGUUUGGUGAGCUUUUGCUUUUUGGAUCAUCUUCUUCCCAAUAUAAAUCAAUCAAUGUGGUACCCUCCUAUUUUUGUUCCCAUUGGAUUUACCUUGUUUACAUGUCGAUCCUAUGGCAGCAAGAAAAAAAAGGGGGCCUAUUGCUAUACUCUAGUAAUCUCUUUCCUACCGACGCAACCCCGUCAUGUCCUAAAUCAUAUUCCGUAGACCAGAAUGGGUUUGCAGAACGUUUAAGCACUGUAUGUGGCUGGUGGAAGAGACACGACCUUACUAAUGGAUGGAGAUGGAGGUGGAUGAGGGUGAAGAGGAUUGGAUGGCAAGGAGUAGGUUAUCGGAGUUAAACUGAAUCACUAAUGGUGAAGUAAUUUUGAACCAAUCACAAAAUAACACAUUAUAUUAAAAUGUUAUUCAAAAAAUGUUGUUAAAGUAUUAUUAUUCUUAUUUAAAAUUAUAAAAAGUGUCACAUCAUUUAAAAUUAUUACACUCAACAUGUUUUUAUUGGAUUAAUGUGAAAGGUACCAAAGUCCCUCUUCUUUACAAAGGAAACCUUCUCUUGUCAUUGUUAGUAAGUGUUAACCUAAGGUGAUAUAUGAAAGAGAAACCAUAAGAGGGCUUAUUGAUGUAUGAAGUAACAACAAAGAGCAUUUUAUGAUAAUAAAUAUAUAGAGCAAGGGAGAGAGAAGGAAUAAUAGAUAUAUUUACCUUCAACAUAAUAGAACCAGCAUGAGGAAUUGCUUCUAACAUGUCUCCUCCGACAUAUUUUAUGUUCUGAGUUUCUUCCAAGCCUGCAACAACAUGUGGCAGAUCAAAUACAAUGCACUUUACAUGUGGGAAGGACUCAACAAUGACCUUAGCCAUUGUCCCUGUUCCUCCUCCAACAUCAACCAAUGAUUCUAUUCCCUCGAACAAUCUCUUAUACUUCUCAAUCACCACAUUGGAAACCAAUCGACUGUCCAUAGCCAUGACUUCAUUGAAAUGGUUAUUUAUAUUAGGCUCACGUCCAGCAAAAUCCCAAAAUCCCAUACCAUUUUCACUGUGAAACGGUGAAGGGGUUUCAUUCGUGAACCAGGUAGAGAAUUGAAACCAUGGAUUCAUCAUAACUGGAUUAAAUAUUAAUUGCGUCACAGGUUUCAUACUAAAGGGAUGGUCCUUUAGGAGUAACAU
RNAcentral lists this long non-coding RNA (63209 nucleotides) under Vigna radiata. RNAcentral describes it as "long non-coding RNA (VRAD_LNC001699)". Lineage: Eukaryota; Viridiplantae; Streptophyta; Magnoliopsida; Fabales; Fabaceae. The record is from RNAcentral.